This 48246-nucleotide long non-coding RNA is filed under the name Citrus x clementina. RNAcentral's name for it is "Citrus clementina (C. clementina) long non-coding RNA (CCLE_LNC005550)". The record is from RNAcentral. Lineage: Eukaryota; Viridiplantae; Streptophyta; Magnoliopsida; Sapindales; Rutaceae.
AUAUUUUCAUAUAGAAAAUAUGAAAAUUUUUAGGUAAAUUCUCAUUAAAGAUGUUAUAUUGUAACAAAUAUUUAUAUGUGUGUAAAAAUUAUACAUAUUUUAAGGAGAUUUACUCUCUUUUGAACUUAUUUAGGGUUUGAUUGAAGAAUCAAAAUUGGAGUCAUUCAAUUAUCCAAUCUAUUACCCUUGUGUUGAAGAAGUAAGACAAGUUAUCGAAAGAGAAGGAUCCUUUAACAUCCAUCAGCUUGAAACAUCACAUAUAAGUUGGUCAGUGGGCUAUGAGAAUGAUAACAAAGGCUUGGAGUUUAACAAGCACGCAAGAGCCAAGCACGUGGCAAAUAAUAUAAGAGCAGUCUCAGAGUCCCUUCUGGCCAAUCAUUUUGGAAGUGCAAUCAUGGAUGAUUUGUUCCAUCGAUUUACAAUCAAGAUAAGUGCACAUUUGGAAAUGGGGCUAGGAGCUCACACAGUUCUCUUCAUUUACUUGAUAAAGAAAUGAAUUAUGUUAUUUCCAAAAAAAUAAAAUAAAUGUUUUGUAUAUUUAUUGCUUUCAGUUCUUGUCUUACAUGAGGCUCUGUUGUCCUCAUUGUUGUUGCCGUUUGUUUGUUUGUUUGUGUUUUCUUAAAUACGUAUCACUUUACGUAAAAUUACUAUGGUUCGUAUUAAUUUAGGUUAUAUAUCAAUGUAUUUUUCUUUUGUUAUUUUAUGUUGUUUUAUGUUGGUAUUUCAAUGGGACCCACGUGCUGCAAGUAUCCAAUGCUUUUAUUUAAGCACUUUUUAUUACUAUUAUUUUUGUUAUUAUUAUUAUAGAUAUUAUCAUUUUAUAACAUAUCAUUUCACCAAUAAAAUUUCUUACAAUUAUUUUUUUCUACUUAAUGUUUUAGUUUUUAUCAUUUUAAAUUAGAAUAUAAGAAAGAAAUUAAUCUAUUUUUUUCUUUGACAGCCUUUGCCCUUUGGAGAAGAUUUUUUAUUCAAUUCUUUGUGAAAACUUGUUCUUAGUGCUAUUUAUAAUUAAAUUCAGGAAUGCACGUAAUAGAACAAAUUAAAACUCAGGUUAAUAACUUAUAUUUAUUUUUCGUGAUUACAAUCUACACAGAUAUACUACCAUCUAGAGUUAUACCUAUUAAUACUUCAGAUACAUGCAUUUAUAACUUAAAAAUCUAUGGGGAUUAGCUCAGAAAUUCACUACUUUCACUAAUGACAUUGGACAUAAUAAACCCACCCAUAAAUAGUUUAAUUUUUUUUUUUUGGUGGAAAAUAAGAGGAGGCUCCAUGAGAACUCAAACUAAUGCCCUCAAUAUUAUUGAGAGCACCGGCCCAUACCAUAAUUAACUCUACUUUUUUAAUAGAAGAUAUUAAAAAAUGAAAAAAAAAUCCUAAUAUCCUAAAAUCCUAAAAUAACAUCCUACAUCAAUGUCACUACGAACCUCAUGUGAUGAAAAAUAAGAAGAUAAAAUAAUAAUAAGGGUUUGAACUUUGAAGAGUGAAACUCUACUUAGAUUUUUUAAUUUGUCUAUUAAACUUAUUUUAAUAAACAUAAAAUUUAAAUUUCAAACUUUGGAUUUGAAGAGGAUAUGAAUAUAAUUUUAUGGAUGGUUCGAUUUUCUUUUUUCUUUUUAUUUAAGUAAAACUCCUCAAAGGAUGGUAUGAUGCGAGGACUUUCCCUUUUAAAAAUUAAGCACAAUAAUGCAACUUUUUUUGUCAUCUAGUACACAUUAAACUCCAUUAAACCGAAAAUAUAGAUGAGAGAGUUCCAUUAAAAUCCAUUCACUCAUUGUUAUUGAUAUCCUUCAACAAAUUAAUGUGAUAAUAUUCUUACACAUACAGUAAGCAAUGAUUAUUUCUUUUAUUAUGAUUAAUUAGUCAACAUCAAAAUAUAUAUGUAUAAUAUAUGUGUCAAAAUAUAUUAUCGAAAGGGCUCACAUAGUCACAUAUAUAACACAUGCGUUUGUUCCAUAAUAGUUUUUCUCAUGUCUUUGAUACUACACAAUUUACAACUUGACAAUUUUAUGUGCUAAUAUAUUUUCUAUUUUCAUCCUUACGACUGGAAAUAAUGAUAAAAUUCAAACAGUCUUGAUGCAAACAAAAUUAUUAAUCAAAUGAUUGAUUUCCUUCAUCUUAAUUAUUGAUUAAGAAAGAUUGAUUGACUCAAUUUUUGCUAAUAAAUCAUUAUUCCCCAAUUAUAUUAAUUUUAUCAUUUCCUUUUCAUAUUUCAAGUACUUGUAUAAAUUGAGCUUUUGUGCUCAUGAAUUAACAAGAGUGAAAUUUAUCUUCUUUACAAUAUUUCUAAAACGUUUUCGUGGUAUUUGAUGGGAUUGAGAGUCUUCAAAUUCGUGGGUUUAGCCAUGGAGCAUGGUGAUCUAAAUAGGGGAGAUGUGAGAUCCUUCUUAGUUGUUAUUAAUUUCUUCACUGAAAAAAAAAAUAAAAAUCUCACUGCCACCACCACUUCCACCAUCACAAAGGAAAGAUGUCAAAAGAAAAAGGGAAUAAAAAGGAAUCCUCAAAAUUGUUGUUUUUCUUGACAAGUCAAUGGAAUGGUUUUCUAAAUAGGGAUAUUGCUAGUUUUCCCUCUUUUGAAAUCAAUUUAUAUCACUUUACCCAUUAUUAUUUUUACAAUAGUCAAUAACCCAUUCUCGUAUAAAUAAUUUAAAGGAAAAGAAAUGGGUCACUUACUUGAUAUUUUACCUUGGGAAUAUAAAAUAUAUAUUUAUUAUAAAGAAAGAUAUUUAAAAAUAACAAAAAUGUAUAAGAAAAAUAUCUUAUUAUUAAUUUUUUAUUCACACAAAAAAAAUUCUUAUUUUUAGUAUUUAAAUUUUUUGUUUUAAUUUCUAUUUAUAUAAUUUAUUUAAUUAAUAAUAAACACGAUUCAAAGUAUAUUUAAAAAUAAGGAUAAUAUUAUAAAAUUAUGAUGGUAGGGAGGUUAUUGAUUAUUAUGAAAAAACUUAGGAGGUAAGUUUAUCUAUUGAUUUUGGUAGGGACAAAUGAGCAACCUCCCUCCUAAAUAAAAAAAAAAAAAAACUCAAUGUCGAAAUUGAAGGAAUGAAGAUAAAAUGCUUGAGUGAAGAUUUUAUUUAAAAAAAUCAAAGGAACAGCUUUUAUAUUAAAAGAAUUCCUUGAUCAAAAGAGUUUAUUACUUUUGAUUUUUCCCAGUCUUUAAAAAAAAGUGUACAUGAAAAUAAUUGAAAGAUUUCUUAGACAAACUUCAAAGGAAUGCUUUCUAAUUUUUUUGCAUGACAGUUAUGAGAUUGUAAAUAAAAAUAAAGUAUUUAUAGUUUUUGAAGGCAAGUUAAGAGUUUAAAAACAUUUCCCUUGCUGGAUUGAGUGAGGAUGAUAAGAAUCAAACAAAAUUCAUGGAAACAGAACAAUCAAUCAAAUGAUUUAUUAAGAAAGAUUGAUUGUAAAUAAACAUAAAAAUUGAUUAACUCAUUUUUUACUAAUCAAUCAUUAUUCUUGAAUUAUAUCAAUUGUAUCAAUUCCUUUUUCAUAUUUCAAAUACUUGUAUAAAUUAAGCCUUUUUGUUCAUGAAUUAAAAAGAUUGAAAUUUACCUUCUUUAUACUAUUUCUAAAGAGUUUUCAAAAAAUACUUGGAAAGAAUCUUUUCUCUGGAGCCACAUAGAAGGGCAAUGGAAUUAGAGGAAGUCUCUUGCAAAUAUGAAGCCAUGGAAAUAGAACAAGUUAUGUACAUGAAUGGAGGAGAAUGAGGCACUAGCUAUGCAAAUAACUCAUUGAAACGGGUCAUCAUCAUCUCCUCUCCAUUUUUCACACUACUAAUUUCUUCUGUUUCAUUAUAUAUAUACUAUUUUCUUCUGUUUCAUUUAUAUAUAUUGAAUAUAUUUUCUUGUAUUCAAAAGGAGGCCACCUUGAAAGCAAAGCUUAUACUAGAACAAAUCUUGUUUGAUUUGUUUUCCAAUGCUUCUCGGAUUGCAUAAGACUUACAGAUAUGAGAUGCUCUUCAAGGCCUAAUUCAUUGUUGCCAACAUGGGAAGUUAUAGAUGCCCUCGACAAAAUUUGCCAACGCUUGAAUCACAAGCCACCGACAUUGCUUUUUUUUUUCAAUGAUGAUGUAAGAUGUUGUUUAUGACGAGCAGGAUACCUUCUGGAGGCCAUAACUUGGGCUACAGGUGUCUGGUUUCGGCGUAUAAUAUAUUGUUUCAAAGGUCGUGAUAAAAAAAACCCAAAACUCCAUGUGUCGUUCUGCACUGUGGUCAAGUCAAAAAGUCUACUUCUUUCCUGAUCGUUUUUUAAUUUUAAGAUAUUUCCCCAUUUUUUCUGUUUCUUCUAAAAUUUUUAUAUAUAUUUUUUUGAAUUUGGAUCUGGACACCAUUUGUUCUUUUUCUUAUUUAGAUUAGGAGAAUUUUAUUAUAAAAUAAUAUUUCAAAUAUAAAGAGGCCAAAGCCCUAGCUUUAUCAAUUCAAUAUUUCUCCGUAAACUUCAUUAUUUAGAAACCUUGUUUUAACUAUCUUCAACCUUUUAUGUUUUCACUUCAUCGGUUGGUACUAGAGCAGGUUCACCUGUCAUCAUUGUACGACCACAUAAACAAAGGAGCACCACCUCGAAGAAGUUGACCAAGGGAUGCAGACAACGUAUAUGGAGACUAUCAGACAUAUGGUAAGAGAAGUAGUCUUGCAAGUCAUGGAGGACAUGUAUAACCCGAGAAUGGCAGCGAUGGAGCAAGUAAUCAAGGGUCUCAUGAUUUCCAUGACAGAGAGAGAAUAGCAGGAAGGAGUUAAUCGUUAGGAAGUUGUUGUAAGAGUAAAUCGUGAAGAACAACCUCAAGAUUAUUACUAUUAAGAGAUACAUCAAGGCUUUAAUCGUGAUGUAGUGCCUUUAGGCAUCAAUCGCAAAGUAAUUCCUCAGAAUUUAGAACUCGCAAGGCGGGUGCAGCUACAUGUGCGUGAAGAGUGAUAGAGUAAUUCGAAAAAAAAGAUAGAGGAUUAUGACGGGAAGUGUAAAAAGAAUUCAGAUUACAAGAUUAAUAUUGAUAUUGCAGAUUGUUAUAGCGGAAUGCAUGUUGACGAAUUUUUAGAUUGGAUAGCAGAUAUAGAGAAUUUCUUCUAAUAUAUGGAGAUUCCCCAAGAGAAAUGGGUUAAGCUUGUGGCAUUCAAGUUUAAGCGCACAUCAUCUGCACAGUGGCAACAUGUAGAGAAUCGAAGAAGAGUUGCAGUGAAACCACUUAUCAAAUCAUGGCCUAGAAUGCAGAGGAUGAUGAAAGAGUAUUUCCUACCAGUGGAUUAUCAACAGUAGUUGUAUGUAAAAUAUCAAAACUGCAAACAAGGGAACGCAUGUCGAUGAAUAUACAAAGGAAUUUUAUCAUCUACACACAAGAAACAAUAUGGAUAAGCUAGAGUUGUGGAUAGUUGCGAAGUAUCUUGGUGGAUUAAAACAAGAGAUACAAGAUCAGAUUGUAAAUGCCAUUUGGGACAUGGGUACAUAGAAAUUGGAAGAACGGAAGCAAAAUGUAGUUUUUAGAACUCAACAACAAUUCAUUAGUGUGUAGAAUAAACCAAGCAGUGUUGGGGUUAAAAAUAAGCAUAAAACAUGGGUAGGUAGUAGUCAGGCACAACAACCAUGAUAGCAACAGCUAAGACAGCAGCCACCUAGACAACAAUCACCAAGGCAAUAGCAAUACGAACCACAUAUAUAUAAUAACCCAGACGUAAAGCCUAUGCUGAUGUGAGGAAUUAGGGCAUUGAUCGACUGACUGUUGUACAAAAAAUUUGAAUUUGGUAGAGGCUGAAGUUGGCGAAGUAGAUAAUGUUAUAGAUGCGAAUGAUGAAGAAGCCCUAGAGUUAGAAGCAGAUGAAGAGGAGAUGUUGAAUUGUAUUAUGUAGAAGGUUUUAUUGGCGCUAAAGAUAAAAAAAGAUAGCCAGUGAAAUAAGAUUUUCAAAACACGUGACACUAUCAACGAUAAGGCGUGCAAUGUGAUAAUUGAUAGUGGUAGCAGGGAGAGCAUAAUUUAAAAGCGUCGGUUGACAUGAUGGGACUUUUAACAAAAAAAAUUCAGCACUUUACAUAAGCACAUGUAAAAAAGGUGUGUCGUGUUUCUUUCUCUACUAGAAAGAUUUAUAAAAGUUAUGUGAUGUGCGAUAUAGUAGUUAUGGAUGUGUCUCAUCUGUUACUAGGACGACCUUGGCAGUUCAAUGUUGAUGCAAUCCAUAGAGGAAGGAAUAAUGUGUAUAAGUUUUGGUAGAUAGGAAGAAGGUUCAUUCAGUGCCUUUAACGAACUAGAAUAAGAAUUCUAAGAUAUAGAGGAAUAAUUUUUUGACCAUUGUGAAGGGUCUUUGGAGGAAGAUUGUGAAGGUUGCAAUAAGCUAGAAAAGGAAGAUGAGUUCGAGGUGAAGACUGUUCAUGAAGAAGUGCAACCAUUACUAACUUAGUUUGCUGACAUUACACCAUCAAAGAAUCCAGAUGGGCUACCACCUUUGCAAGAUAUUCAGAUCAUUUGGAGAGAGAGAAAAUUAAGAUUUAGUGUGCUUUAGGGAGAAUGAAUGGCUCAUGAAUCAACUUUUUAAAAAAAAUAAAUGUGCAGGGAUAAAAUCUAAUCAUAAAGCAUAUUUGGAUAAAUUAGAGAGUGACUCCACAGCAUUUCUCAAAUUUUGAUUUGAAGAGUUGAAGAUUGGAGGCCAUAUGAUUCUUACCUUUUAAGAUAAUGACAAUCUAAGAGUAUAUUUGGGAUUGAGGUUGGACAGCUGUCACUUAAAAAAUACAGUACUAAAGUGUUUGGUAAACAUUAGCUGUUGUAACUUGGAAGUUAUAUUGAUAUGAUUUUUCACUUGUAUAAUAGAAAAUCUAUUAUAUCUUUAAUAAUUUUGUCAAAAUUAUUAUUUAAAAUUUAUAUUUACUACAUAUUAUUAACUUUUGUUUGAUAAUUACAAUUUUUUUUUCCACAGUAGUUUUAGCUUAAAAAUUAUAGCAUCUCAAUCCUAAAUAGGACCUAGGUGUAUGUUUAGGAUUGCUUUAGAUUGCCAAAUAAUCACUUACUUGAUAAUCCAUUACCUCAAAUAUAUUUGGUAAACUCAUAGCAAGAGUGAUCAUCACAAAAUCUUAUUUAUGAAAUAAUUUGUUUUUGAAGUAACUCUUAAAAGUUUAUAAGAGUAGAUUUUAAAAUUUUGAUUUGUAAUUUGCAAUAACAAUAUUACCCUAAUUUUAUAGCAAACUUUCAAAAAUAUCCCUACACUAAAAAAAUGUAAUUUUUAAUAUUUAAAAUUUAAAAUUAAAAAUAAAAUUGAAAAACCAAAAUUAUUUUUGGUAACUAGUGACCUCACCAAUGCCAUUGUCGGUGAUUGUGAAAGUGCUAUUUGGAUACCACCAAUACUAUCAAACUCAAAAUCAUAUGACCUAUGUAUUUGUAAUGUUCCAGUUGGAAAAUGAGAGAUGGUGGCAAAGCAUACACUCCAAAUAGUACAACAACCACCGCACACCACCAUCAAAAUUGGGGAAUAUUUGAUGCAAUGCCAUUGCUAUUUAAUAGAUCGACAAGCAAUGACCAUUAUGUAGUGGUUUCAUGCCGCCAAUCUUCACUUUGGUACCAUUUUUGUGGACUAAAGGUAACAAUGUCAGUCGAUUGUGUUGGGAUUAUGUGCUCUUUAAACCAUAUUAAUUAUUUUAUUUUUAGAUUAAUAAAAUAUUUGAGAUAUUUUCAAUUACAUAAAUAUUUUGAAUAAGAUCCGUUUAAUCAUAUUAUAUGUAUUUAUGUGAUCAUCAUAUAGAUUCACAGAAGACAUAAAUACAAGUUAUCUUGUGAUUAAAUAAAUUAAGUUCGUAGUUGAUAAAUAGAGUUGAAUGCUCUAUUUAUGUUUAGACUAUAGUAAAUUCAUUGAAUGAUUUGUCUUAAUCAUGUAUGAAUUUACUAAUGUAGUUUGACUGCAUUGAACUGAAUCACAUAUAAGAUUUAAUUAACUUUGAAAUGACUGUCAGACUUAUUAAAUCUCAUAGGCAUUGAUUUUAUUGCAAUCUUAAUCUUGAGUUAAUUAUGGUUUCAUGUUUGUAAUUGUCAUUUCAUUUGAGUUACCAAUGGGCGCGACAUACAUUUAUAGUCAAGAUUACCCAGUAUCUUGGUGGAAGCAAUUAUGAGUAGUGAGAUUAUAGAUUAACAAUAUAGAAUUUGUACAACACAUCUCUUGAUGGGUUUUCGGCACUUGAUCAUAGAAUUCUCUGGCUAGAGUGUGUCAACGUAAUUAGUAUGUUGAAAAUGAUCAUUAGAGAAAACCAGUAAGUGUCAAUGAACAAGAUGUAAUUAAAUUGAUUGGACAGUUGAGAUAUCAAUUUAUUUAGCGAUGUGGUACAAAGGAUUGUUUAGUAAAGAAAUUAAUAUGGCAUGAGUCGAAUUAUUUUUCGAGAACACUAUCCUACAUAGCAUACAAUUAUGGAGAUCAAUUCCAAUCUUUUAGUGGAGUAGAUUUGGAAUUAAAUAAUUGGACUAGUUUAAUUACAGACUUAAUUAUUGUAGCCAUUUUUGUACCUACCCAUAUGAUCCCCGGGUUAGCUCAUUUAAUUGACUGCGCCGCUACUGGAUUAAUAAGCAAGAUAACUAGUUAUUUGAGUUAAAAGCCUAAAUAUAUAAUUUAGUGGGAGGCUUCAUUUAAUAUGCUUGUGUGUAAGGGGCCUUGUGUUAUUUUACAAGGUGGGCCCCUAUAACAAAAAAAAGUAACGCCACUUUUAGUUUUAUUAUUUUUUUAAUUUAAAUCAAAUUUGAUUUAAUAGAAUUAAAAAAUAUAUAAAUAUGGAGUCUAGGGUUUCCACCAAAUAGAGAUAUAAAAGGAUUUGUUUUCUCUAAAAGGUGAGAGGAGCCACAAUAUACGGAUCAGAGAAAAAAGUUUUUCUCUCUAAUUUUGAUAGAGAUAUUUUCUCUUGCUAGUUGCUUUUAUUAGUGAUAAAGGCGCUCACACGUCAAGUGCAGGUUAAACUUGAGUCAUAACCUGGAAGAUCAUUGGUGAUAGAUCGUGAUCUAACAAGAUUGGUGAUGACGGAUCGUGAUCUGGGAGCCUAGAUUACUUUAACAAAAAAACAAAAGUACAAUUUCUAGAUUAUGCUAAUUUUAUAUAUUGUAUGAGAAUUGCGAUCUGUUGAAAGUCAUGGCUGGCGCCGGCCAUCUAGAUGGCCGGUGCCAACCAUUCAACAUUCAACACGGCCCGCCAUUGUUGGUGGUGCCGUGUUGAAUGACUCCAAUAAAAAAAAAAAAAAAAGAGCCAAAAUUUUGGCUAUAUAAAGAGGGCUUCCCACCCUCAUUUUUCAUCCAAUUUUGUAGAGAGAAUUGAGAGUUGUGAGAAGUGAUUCUUGCAAGAGCAAAGAAUUUUGUGUGCUUAGUGAUUUGAGAGUUUGGGUGUAUUGGGGUUUUGGGUAGUGAGCUAAAAUACUACAAUACUUGUAACUCCUUUUCACUAGUAUAAUAUUUCUUUCUGUCUUCGCCCGUGGACGUAGGCUAAAAGCCGAACCACGUAAUUUCUGGUAUUUUCUUUUGUGCUUGUUCUUUAUUUUUCUAUCAAUUUUACUUUAGCUGCGUGUCUGCUUCACCCACCAAUUUCCUAACAGUGGUAUCAGAGCUAUUGGUUGUAUUUUUGGAGUCAGGAAUUGUUCACGUAUUCACGUAUACGGUGUACGGCACUAUUCACGUAUACGGCAUACGAUACUAUUCACGUAUACGGAGUACGGCACUAUUCACGUAUACGGAGUACGGUACUAUUCACGUAUACGGUGUACGGUACUAUUCAUGUAUACGGUACUAUUCACGUGAAACGGUGGAAGCGAUCCAAGAAUUUUGCGGUGCAAAGCAGGGAAUAGUGGUGUGAGUAAAGCAACUGUGUGAUUCUGUACAUGUCUAGGAAAGUUCUGUCACAAAGGCGAUAAGAGCUUAAGGAGUCUGGGUUUUAAGUGGGACCAUUGUGACCCCUCCAGUCUUUCCUGGGAACUUUCCUGGUGUGCAUUCUCACACAUACUCACAACUAUUCAAGGUGGUACACUAGCUUGUGUACAGUAUUUAUCAAUAAAAUGGCGGCAAAGUAUGAAAUUGAGAAAUUUAAUGGAAAUAAUUUUUCGUUGUGGAAAAUGAAGAUGAAAGCUGUAUUGAGGAAAAAUAAUUGCUUGGCAGCAAUUGAAGAAAGGCCCAUGGAGAUAACUGAUGACAAGUGGAACGAGGUAGACGGCAAUGCCAUUUCUGAUCUACACUUGGCACUUGCGGAUGGAGUAUUAUCCAGUGUGGCAGAGAAAAAUACGGCGAAGGAAAUAUGGGAUACUCUCACAAAAUUGUACGAGGCCAAGUCACUACACAAUAAAAUCUUCUUGAAGAGGAAACUCUAUACUCUUCGAAUGGCGGAAUCUACAAUGGUGACCGACCACAUCAACACAUUGAAGACUCUAUUUUCACAACUCACAACGUUGGGUCAUAAUAUAGAGGAAAAUGAACGUGCAGAGCUUCUACUUCAAAGUCUACCAGAUUCGUAUGAUCAACUCAUCAUCAACCUGACGAACAACAAUCCAGUGGAGGGUCUAGUUUUCGACGAUGUUGCAGCCUCCGUAUUAAAUGAGGAGAGCAGGCGAAAAAACAAGGAAAACAGACAAGCAAGUUCGCAGCAAGCGGAGGCGCUAUCGGUGACGAGAGGAAGAUCAACAGAACGUGGCCCCAGUGGGAGUCAAAAUCAUGGUAGAUCAAAAUUCAGAAGUAAGAAGAAUGUUAAAUGCUACAACUGUGGCAAGAAAGGGCACGUCAAAAAGGAGUGUUGGAGUAACCAGAAGAAAAGAGAGGGCAAAGAACCUGAGUCAUCAAAUGCUCAGGGGUGUGUAGCAAGUACCUCGGAUGAUGGCGAAAUUCUCUACAGUGAGGCAGCAACUGUUUCAGAAGGCAGAAAACGACUUUCUGAUGUCUGGCUUAUAGACUCAGGAGCUACCUGGCACAUGACCUCUAGGAGAGAAUGGUUCCACACAUAUGAACCUAUCUCAGGUGGAUCUGUAUAUAUGGGUAACGAUCAUGCCUUGGAGAUCGCUGGUAUUGGUACUAUCAAAAUAAAAAUGUUUGAUGGUACAAUUCGCACAAUUGGGGAGGUACGACAUGUCAACGGCCUAAAGAAAAAUCUAUUGUCUUUGGGACAAAUAGACAAUCAUGGGUGCAAAACUCAUGUGGAGAAUGGAAUUAUGAAGAUUGUUAAAGGCGCGCUUGUAUUGAUGAAGGCAGAAAAGAUCAGUGCUAAUCUAUUUAUGCUUAAAGGAGAAACACUACAGGAGGCUGAUGCGUGUGUCGCAUCAAAUGGAGAAGAGUCAACGAUGAUGUGGCAUCUCAAACUUGGCCACAUGUCGGAACAAGGUUUGAAGAUUCUCUCUGAGCGAAAAUUACUUCCGGGGCUCAAAUCGGUAAGUUUACCAUUUUGCGAGCAUUGUGUUACAAGUAAACAGCAUAGAUUAAAAUUCAGUAGAUCUAUUGCUAGAAGUAAAUGCAUUCUAGACUUGAUUCAUUCUGAUGUUUGGGAAUCACCGGAUAUAUCCAUGGGAGGUGCAAAGUACAUGGUGACUUUCAUUGAUGACUAUUCCAGAAGAUGUUGGGUGUAUCCAAUUAAGAAAAAGUCAGAUGUAUUUCCUGUGUUUAAAGAAUACAAAGCGCGGGUGGAACUUGAAUCUGGUAAAAAGAUCAAGUGCUUGAGGACAGAUAAUGGUGGAGAAUAUACAGACGACGAGUUUCUUACUUUCUGUAAGCAAGAAGGUAUUCAGAGACAGUUCACGGUGGCAUACACUCCUCAACAAAAUGGAGUGGCAGAACGGAUGAACAGAACUCUUACAGAAAGAAUAAGAGCUAUGUUGAGGACUGCUGGUCUACCCAAUUCAUUCUGGGCAGAAGCAGCCAAAACUGCCUGUUAUAUAGUAAAUCGGUCGCCAUCUACAGCUAUUGGGUUGAAGACAGCGAUGGAGAUGUGGACUGGAAAGCCAGCUGAUUAUUCCUACCUACAUGCAUUUGGAUGUCCUGUGUACGUGAUGUACAAUGCCCAAGAAAGAACAAAGCUGGAUGCAAAAUCUAGAAGAUGUAUCUUCUUGGGGUAUGCUGAUGGAGUAAAGGGGUAUCGUCUGUGGGACCCCACUGCCCACAAGAUCGUCAUCAGCAGAGAUGUUAUUUUUGUAGAAGAUCAACUGCAAAGAAAAGAUGAAGAUGAUGGCACUGUAAAAGAAAAGUCAGAGACUGUGCCGGUAUAUGUCGAAAAUAAUCCAGAAGAUUCAGAUUCUUCUGAAGUAGCAUCAGAGCACGAGGAACAAGAACCAGUUGAGUCCGAGGCUCCAGAAGUUCGUCGGUCAACUCGUGAGAGACGACCGCCAACGUGGCACUCGGAGUAUGUCACAGAGAUCAACGUUGCAUACUGUCUUCUAACAGAGGAUGGAGAGCCUUCAACUUUCCAUGAAGCUUUAAACAGCUCAGAUGUUGCUUUGUGGAUGACAUCAAUGCAGGAAGAAAUUGAAGCUCUACACAAGAACAAGACAUGGGAACUUGUACCACUACCACGUGGAAGAAAAGCCAUUGGAAACAAAUGGGUCUAUAAGAUCAAACGUGAUGGCAAUGACCAAGUGGAGCGGUAUCGUGCGAGACUGGUAGUGAAAGGAUAUGCUCAGAAAGAAGGUAUUGACUUCAACGAGAUAUUUUCUCCGGUGGUUCGACUCACAACAGUCAGAAUAGUCUUGGCAAUGUGUGCUACAUUUGACCUACAUCUAGAGCAGUUAGAUGUUAAAACUGCAUUUCUUCAUGGAGAACUUGAAGAAGAAAUUUAUAUGCUCCAACCAGAAGGUUUUGCAGAAAAAGGAAAGGAGAACUUGGUUUGCAGGUUGAACAAAUCUCUAUACGGUCUCAAACAGGCGCCGAGGUGUUGGUAUAAGAGAUUUGAUUCCUUCAUUAUGAGCCUUGGAUACAACAGACUCAGUUCAGACCAUUGUGUAUAUUACAAGAAGUUUGAAGAUAAUGAUUUCAUCAUUUUGCUGUUGUAUGUGGAUGACAUGUUGGUAGCAGGUCCCAACAAAGAUCGAAUCCAAGAAUUGAAGGCACAGUUGGCUAGGGAGUUUGAAAUGAAGGACUUGGGACCAGCAAACAAGAUUCUAGGGAUGCAAAUUCACCGAGACAGAAAUAACAGGAAGAUUUGGCUCUCACAGAAGAAUUAUUUGAAGAAAAUCUUGCGGCGCUUCAACAUGCAAGAUUGUAAGUCAAUUUCUACCCCACUUCCUGUUAAUUUCAAAUUAUCCUCAAGUAUGUGUCCUAGCAAUGAAGCAGAGAGGAAGGAGAUGUCUCGAGUACCGUAUGCAUCAGUAGUGGGAAGUUUAAUGUUCGCUAUGAUAUGUACAAGACCGGACAUUGCACAAGCAGUGGGAGCAGUCAGUCGAUACAUGGCGAAUCCUGGCGGAGAGCAUUGGAUAACUGUGAAGAGGAUUCUGAGAUACAUCAGAGGAACCUCAGAUGUUGCAUUAUGUUAUGGAGGGUCAGAGUUUACUGUCAGGGGCUAUGUGGAUUCAGAUUUUGCAGGAGACCUUGAUAAAAGGAAAUCCACUACUGGUUAUGUGUUUACACUUGCGGGAGCAGCUGUAAGCUGGGUUUCGAAACUGCAGACCGUUGUGGCUUUAUCUACAACAGAAGCAGAAUACAUGGCAGCUACACAAGCUUGCAAGGAAGCUAUUUGGAUACAAAGGUUAUUGGAGGAGCUCGGGCACAAACAACAGAAAAUUCCUGUGUUUUGUGACAGUCAGAGUGCCUUGCACAUUGCAAGGAAUCCAGCCUUUCAUUCCAGGACAAAACACAUAGGAGUCCAGUAUCACUUCGUUCGUGAAGUAGUGGAAGAUGGAAGUGUGGAUUUACAGAAAAUCCAUACGAAGGAGAACCUAGCAGAUGUUUUGACCAAGCCGAUAAAUACUGAUAAGUUUGUCUGGAGUAGAUCCUCCUGUGGCCUAGCAGCAACGUAGGCAACAUGACUAUGGCGAAGCAGAAAGGAUGGUGUGUGAGAUUGAUUGGUCCUCAAUCAAAUCUCCAAGUGGGAGAAUGUUGAAAGUCAUGGCUGGCGCCGGCCAUCUAGAUGGCCGGUGCCAACCAUUCAACAUUCAACACGGCCCGCCAUUGUUGGUGGUGCCGUGUUGAAUGACUCCAAUAAAAAAAAAAAAAAAAAAGAGCCAAAAUUUUGGCUAUAUAAAGAGGGCUUCCCACCCUCAUUUUUCAUCCAAUUUUGUAGAGAGAAUUGAGAGUUGUGAGAAGUGAUUCUUGCAAGAGCAAAGAAUUUUGUGUGCUUAGUGAUUUGAGAGUUUGGGUGUAUUGGGGUUUUGGGUAGUGAGCUAAAAUACUACAAUACUUGUAACUCCUUUUCACUAGUAUAAUAUUUCUUUCUGUCUUCGCCCGUGGACGUAGGCUAAAAGCCGAACCACGUAAUUUCUGGUAUUUUCUUUUGUGCUUGUUCUUUAUUUUUCUAUCAAUUUUACUUUAGCUGCGUGUCUGCUUCACCCACCAAUUUCCUAACACGAUCUAGAUAUUUUCGCUGUAAAAUAUUUUUCAAACCAACAGUCUAUGCUGGGAUGGUACACAUUUUGAUAAUGGAACAAUUUUAUUAAAUUUCAUAUAUUUUGUUUAUUGAAUGAUUAUUUAUUUGCUAAAUGAAUUAUUUUUAUCGGAAGAUAAAUGGUUACAUUUUUAUUAUUACCGCAAAUAUGAACUAUUUGGUCAACGUACCCAGCCAUGACACAUUUAUGAUUUAUCAUCAAGCACGUUUUACAAAUUAUUUAACAAGUGAUUUUCUCAUAAUCUUGAUUUACCAAAUAUUUUAGGAAAUUAUUUGAAAAGUUGAUUAUUUGAGAAUCUUUAUAGGAAUUGUAUGGGAACCUAAUGCAACCCGAACAUACCCUAAUUCUAUAAUUACUUUCUUUUAAAAAAAGAACACUCUAUAGUUUGUAUUUGCAUAGCCUUCAUUAACAUCAUAUCUGCUACAUUCUUUGCAUCCGAUCCAAUAAUGAGUGGCAGCAAACCAUAUUUUUUGGCCGAUGUGAUUCUGAAAAAAUAUGGCUUAGUGAAACUAAGCAUAUCCCAAUUUUUAACAAACAGUACAAUUCGCCACUAAGUAGCACACUUUUACUUCUGGCCGACCAUUUUUAGUAACCUCCACAUGAUUAACAUUACUUGUAGUCCAAUGAUAUUACGGGUACGUUUUGGUAGGGAUGGUAAAAUCUGGGUCCGGGUUCGGGUUUGGCCUUUCCGGAUCCGGACCCGAAUACUAAAAUGUUAUACCGAACUUGGAUUUAAACCCGGUUUUUGUGAUACCGGGUCCGGAACGGGUUAAACCUGGAUUAUUACGAGUUUUCAGAUUGCGGGUUUUCAACCCGGAUCACAUACAAAUAAAAAAAAAAAUCAAAUACACUUUACAAAUUUGCAAAACCAGAUUCAACAUAAAUCAAAUACAAAGUAAUAAACCAUUUUAAUUUUAUAGAUUUUUAAUUUCAAAACAAUAAACCAUUUACAAAUACAGAUCCAUGACAUACACUCACAAAAUACAAAUCCAUGUCUACAACUCAAAAUCGUGAUUCACGGAUUUGGUUCACAAACUUCAACAAUCGGUGUUCGGCGAAGUAUUGAACAUCGGUGGCUGAUGAUAUGAUGAUGAUGAACACGUCACAGCCGCCAGCGCAAUUCGCAAAAGGCGGAUGAACGACAGCCAAAACAGAGAUCGCAAUGGAGAAACGACAGCCAAAUGAAGGCUGGUGAUGAUGAUGAAUGCGAACACAGCGAAGCGAAGCGAUGAGGAGUGAUGACGAUGAUUUGAUGAAGAGAAUAAUUGAAGAGAAAAAGGAUGAUUUGAUGAAGAGAAGAAGUGAAUGAGAACGAAAAUGAUGAUUUGAUGAAGAGAAAAGAAAAAGGUGAAGAGAGGCGGCUGUGAAAGUAGAAAAGAAAGAGAAGAGAAAAGAAGGAGGACGAAAAGGAUGAUUAAGGCAUCAACAUUUUUUCCCUUUUUUAUAUUAAAAAAUUAUUUAAAUAUUAUGUUAAAAUAAGAAUAUCCGGGUCUGGGUUCCGGAUAUACGGGUUAUCCCAAACCCGGAAUCGGACCUUGAUCCAUCCAGAUUAUUAAAAUUUAUUCUGGAUCCGGAUUUUUUUACACUCCCAUAUGGGUUCAACCUAGCCCGAAUUAUCCGGAUUCGUCCGGGCCCGGGCCGAGUCCGGGUUAUUUUGCCAUCCCUACGUUUUGGUAUUAUUUUUUAUUUAUUUUAUAAUAUAAAAAUAAUUAAUUUUGGUGAAUAUAAAGACGUAUUUGGCAGCUUAAUUUAAAAUAAUAUUUAAAAAUAAAAUCUGUUUGAUUGUUUGUUUGUUGAAAAUAAUAAUAUUAUAUUUUUUAAAAAAUAAUAAACAAAAAAAUUAUUAAAACAGCAGUUUAUAUGUAUGCACAGUAAAGUAAAUAGCUAUAUUUUAUAUUCCAUGGCUCACAUUUGAUUCGAUUGAACACAUGCUAAGCUUUUUUAGGUAUUAUUUUUUAAAUAAUAUUUUUGUAUUUAUUUUAUAAUAUAAAAAUAAUUAUUUUUGGUGAAUAUUAAAACUUAUUUGGUAGUUUAAUUUAGCAUGAUAUUUAAAAAUGAAAUCAACCAAAUAUAUAUUUGAUUAUUUGUUUGUUGAAAAUAAUAAUAUUAUAUUAUUAAAAACUAAUAAAAUAAAAAAAUUGCUGAAUCAGUGAUUUAUAUGCAUGCACAGUAAAGUAAAGGCGCUAUAUUUUAUAUUUGGUCUGUCACUUUGGAUUCGACUGAACACAUGCUAAGUUCUUUUUUGGUAUUAUUUUUUAAAUGAAAAUUUUAUUUUUGUUUUAUAAUAUAAAAAUAAUUAAUUUUGAUGAAUAUAAAAACAUAUUUGCUAGCUUAAUUUAACAUAAUUUUUAAAAGUGAAAUCUAGCAAGCAUAUGUUUGAUUGCUUGUUUGUUGAAAAUAAUAAUAAUAUUAUAUUAUUAAAAAAAUUGUCAUUGCAAUUUUUUACUCGACACGUAAUAACUAACUUUUUGCUACAAAUUUCUUUUUAUAUUAAGCUUUGUGAAUCAUCUCUCCAUGAUAUGAAAGUUUCUAUUGUCAAAGGUUUUGCAAAAAAGAAAUGAAUUGUCAAAGGGUGCUGGGGUUGCCGGCGAUGACCCUCUGAUGCUCAAGUCAGCAUUUCAAAUUUGAUUAUAGAAAGAGAAUUUAAAGAAAGAAGGACAUUAUUUUGUUACCCUUUUUUUUUUCUCUUGGCCUCUGAUGUGGGAAGUUCUGAUCAUUAUAUGGAUAAUUUGAUUCAUGAGGUGGAGGCAUCAUAAUGACACGUGGCAUUGUUUUAGUGACAAGUGUCCGCAAAACUCAUGCAUAAAGACACCUGUCAUUACGUGUCAAGCUUCCUCAUUGACAAGUCUUCUUUAAACACUUGUCAUGAUUUCAAGCUCUUAAUCUUCGUUGGGCUCGAGCACUUCAGCUUUUAUGUUGGUUCCUCGUAAAGAGGAUUGGUUUUGUAGCAUUUCACAUGUAUGUAACAUUCGUAGAAUGUUACUUCCAAGUAAUUGUUGAACAUCUAGGUCAUUAUUCAUAGAAAAUGGACCUAGGUCAUUCUUUAUAAUGAAUAGACCUAGGUCGCUCUUUGUAGACACAUGCCUUUGGCGCUUUUUUGAAGGGCGUUCUACUUAGAAUGGACCUAGGUCCUUCUUUAUAAAGAGUGGACCUAGGUCGUUCUUUGUAGAAAUAUACAUUUGGCGCUUUGCCGAAGAGUUGCCCUUUGGGUGUUUUAUUUAAAAUGGACCUAGGUCCUUCUUUAUAAAGAGUGGACCUAGGUCUCUUUUUGUAGAAAAUGGAUCUAAGUCACUUUUUGUAGAAACUUACCUUUAGCGUUUUGUCAAAAAGUUGCCCUUUGGACGUUUUAUUUAGAACAAACCUAGGUACUUCUUUAUAAAUAGUGGACCUAGGUCGCUCUCUGUAGAAAAUCGAUCUAGGUCAUUUUUUGCAGAAAUUUACCUUUAACACUUGGCCAAAGAAUUGCCCUUUGAGCAUUUUAUUUAAAAUGGACCUAGAUCACUUCUUAUUGAGCCUAUAUUCAUGUGGGCUUUUUUUGGGUUUAUUAUAAUUUUGGUACAACAGAUGCCCCCAGUCUAUUUUUUCAAAUUUGAGAAGUUAGACUUUAUUUAUUACUAUUAUUUACUUCAUGUGCUUUAGGUUAGGCUUGAAUCAUUUUAUGGCUUCCAGCCUUGGCUUUUCAAUGGGUGCGGGCUUAACUCAAUUUUUGAAAUUCAAAAAUUGUAUAUCAUUUCCUAUUAAUUUUCUUUGUUUUUUCAUUUCCGAUGAUCUUUGUUUUUUCUUGCCCAAUUACAACAAAUGACUUAUGGCAUUCCCCUUCCUCUCAUCUAUAAAAACCCUCAAAACUCCAUAAUAUAUUCACAAGCACUACUAAAAACUUAAUGAGAGAAUUUACCUUAGAGGGAGACUCUUUCAAUUUAUAGUGAAGAGGGUGAGCAUUUUUUGAAGGAGUUUCACGGAUUCGCGCCAGAGCAGUGCUCAAUUUUGGUGUCUCUCCGGCUGUAAGGUAUUUUUUCCGUUCUUUCUUUUUAUUUAAAAAAAUGCAUUUAUUGACAUAUAAUAAAAUGUCCAUAUGAAACGUCAACAAUUUGCAUGCAUGUGAAAACUUAGCAAUUUGCAUGCAAGUGAAGAUUUAAUUAUUUGCAUGCAUGUUGAAUUUAAUAUAUGCAUAUAUUAAAAUGUUAUAUGCAUGUUUAUUGAAACUUCUGAUAUGAUGUAUGUGGAUGCACAAAUCAGUGCAUGGCUAUAUAUAUAUAUAUAUAUAUACACGUGUAAAGUUCUAGCCAUUUUAUUUAUUUAUUUAUUUUUGCAUGCUUAUUCACAUAAACUUAAAUAAAUGUAACCACAUAUAUAAUUUUCGUAUGCAAAGACUUAGCUUUUAGCAUGAGAAUUCGCAUAGAGUUUGAUUAAUAGGUUCCUAAUAUGGCCAAGUUACCUGAAACUGAAGCAACCAAUGGCGAGACUUGUAGUAAGGAUUCAUUCAAACAUGUAGGCGUUAAAAUUGAAUCUGAGGAUGGGGAAAAUAACUUUAAAGUUUGGUAUGACAAAAAUUGCGCUAAGACUUCUAGUGUGUGGACCAUGGACAAUUGCAGUAAUUCACUUACUUGGGUCGGUGUCGAAAUACUGCAGAUCAUGUACCAAAUUCCCCGUUCUAUUGAAAUGAACUUGUUGGAGAGUGAUUUGAUUAGCGAACCCCCUACUGGCUGUGUUGGGUUUACAAAAGCAAUGUUCAAAGUUGGAGCUUCUCUUCCUCUUGCCCCAAAUAUUUGAAAGCUUCUACAUUCUUUCGGACUGCUCCUGCUCAGCUAGUUCUUACUGCUUGGAGAGCGAUAAUUGGAAUGUGGGUUGUAUGGAGGAAGCUUGGAUUUUCAGAUCCGUCUGUGAUCGAGUUCCAAUAUCUAUUUCAUUUAUGUCGUAACCCCAAAACUUAUGACAUUUGGCACUUCAAAGCUUAUGAAGAUUCCAAUGAAAUUUUACUUAAUCAUGUUCACAUCUCAAUCAAGAGGUGGAAGCAUUUUUAUUUUUUGGUUAGUGGAAAUUGGGAGUUUGGGGAUGAAGUCGUUGAUGCCCGGGUUCGGGUUCCAACACACUUUCGUGAACCAAGUGCGAUUUAUAUAUAUAUAUAUUAUGUGGCACAUAUUUAAUUUUUUUACUAACCUUAGUUUCACUUCUUAAUUGUAGAUAUUUGGAAAAGACCCACGAUCCGUGGAGUAGAGGCGAAAAACAUUAGGUCAGCUCAAAAGUUGCCUCCAGAAGAUCGUGAUUGCAACUUCCUAUGCUUAUUCAAUAUUUUCACCGAGAAUCACAUAAUUCCAAGUAGUCCAUUAUCCAUUCAGUCAACUAAACGUAUAAUGGAUUCUUCAACUAAUGAACCUGUUGGAGGAAAAAAAAGAAGAAAAAGGCCAAGGUUAUCUGAAAAGGCAAAACCCAUUGAGAGGCUGAGACUGUCAGAUAAGACAAAGAACGUGGAGAAGCCACGACUCAUGGAGAAGGGCUUUACUUCCCAGCAACAGACAAAGGAUCAGAAUAAUGGUACAUUAGUCCAAACUUUGAUGCCGAAAGAAGUGACUAAAAAAUUUACUGUUGAUCAAAUCAUCGAUCCAUCUACGGUUCUUGCCUAAGGUGUUAAUUCAUCACCAGUUCGCGCUCAUCAAGCCGAUGAUGUUGAUUGGGACCAAUUUGUAAGUGAGGCUGGAGGAUCGAGUGUGAAGGAUUUGGGGGCCAUAGAGUCUCUCAAGGUUGUAGUGAGACUUGUUAUAAAGGUAAAGAACUUUUUCCUUCAUUAUGUUUACCCUUCAUUUUUUAUUCUGCCUCUCCUUAUUUUUUAUUUUAUUUUUUUGUAGCAUUCGGAGCAUUUUUCAUCCUAUGAAACAUGAGUUAGGGCUGCCGAAGAUCGUGUUGCUGCCACAAGUAAAGAACUAUCUCAAGCUCUUGCUGCUAAAAAGAAUUUAGAAUCUGAGUUCAUUGCCCUCCAUAAAGAAAAGUUAACAAUUGAAAGUCAGUUGCAUUUAGCCAAAGAGGAGCAAAAAAAGGCUGAAGAAAUAAUUGCUCUCGAUGCUGAGAGGAUUUCUAGUUUUGAAACCCGUGUAAAAGAUCUUGAAGAGUCAAAUGAACAAUUUGAGGAUGAACUUUUGGAAGCACAAGCUGAAAUUGAAAAAGCUAGAAAUAAAGAGUAUGAAGAGUACACGAGUGGCGGAAAUGAAGUCCCCAUCGGUUGACCAUCAGAUAUCAUAUUACCUGCGACUCUGGGUUUUGAUGAUUGCUAUGGAGAUCUUCACCUUCGUCCUCCUGAGUUAGAUGAUGAGAUGUGCAAGGAUGUUGAGGAGGGUGAACACAUCAUGGAUCCUUAGAUUGUUCCUAAGAUCAUUUUUCAGCAUUUUAAUUUUUCUUUCUUGUUGGAUUUUAAUUUUCUACGGAUGUAAUCAUGGCUGCAAUUUUGGCUUCUUUUCGGCGUAACUCGCAGCAUGAAAUGCUUUAUUUUCCUAAUGAAAGUUUAGCCUAAAAUUUCUUAAUUUUGACCAAGUAAUUUUUAUUCGAAGUCGAUUUGACUUAACACCAUACAUUCCUUUAUAUAGAUCUUUUCUUGUAGACGUUUGAUUUAAAAAUUUUUAUCAGCAAUCAGACUUAGGACAUUCUUUUAAAAGAAAUGACCUACGUCUUUUUAUUACAACUUGCCGAUCGAUAUUUUUCAUAGAAAAACAUUUCUAAGUAACUAGAACAAGGCCAUUUUUCACAAGAAAAUACCCAAAUCCUUUUGUUACAAUUUGCCUAUGGGUAGUUUCCUUAGAAAUAAUGGAUUGGACUUAAGUCAUUCUUUUCAAGAAAAGACUUAAGUCCAUUUGUUACAAUUUGCUUGUGGGUAGUUUUCUAAAAAAAAAAUAUUUCUAAGGAAUUGGACCUAGGUCAUUUCUUGCACAGGUCAUUCUAUGCAAGAAAAGACCUAGGUCCCUUUGUUGCAAUUUGUCUACGGGUGUUUUCCUUAUAAAAUUAUUUCUAAGGAAUUAGACCUAGGUCCCUUUGUUACAAUUUGCCCGCAUGCGUUUUCCUCAAAAAAUUAUUUCUAAAGAAUUGGACCUAGGUCAUCCUAUGGAAUAAAGGACCUGGUCAUCUUAUGGAAGAAAAGAUCUAAGUCCAUUUGUCAUAAUUUUCUCGCAGGCGUUUUCCUCAGAAAAUUAUUUCUAAGGAAUUGGACCUAGGUCAUCCUAUGCAAGAAAAGACCUAGGUCCCGUUGUUACAAUUUUCCCGUGGGCGUUUUGCUUAGAAAAUUAUUUCUAACAAUUUCUCUAGGUUGACACUACAUAUAUGUUUAUAAAACUUCUGCGAUAACAAGCCUUUAAGCUUUUCGUAACUUGAAUUCACAAUUGACUAAGUGCUCAUUAUGAAUUAUACAAGUUUAACAUAAUGCAAUGUCACUUCGCAUAAUAUCAUUAUAAGAAUAACAAAAGAAAUUUAAGGCAACCAAUCUUUUAUUAGUCCGUAGGUUAAUAAGAAAACUUGUUCGAUUAUAAAAUUUUUCAGACUUUACUGAUAAUACACUCUAAGGUGCUCGACAUUCCAAGCGUGCCUCAGGAUAUUAGCGUGAAGAGUAUAAAGGGAAUAGGUCCCUGGCCUUACAACAUCUUUCAUAAUGUAAGGUCUUUCCCAAUUUGGCCUAAGAUUCCUAACCCCUGGAUCUUGCGUAUUAGGAAGAACUUUCUUCAAGACCAAAUCUCCAAUUCUAAAACAUUGAUUCUUUACACGAGCAUUAUAAUAUCGAGCCACUCUCCCUUGAUAAGCAGCCACUCUGAUCAUUGCUUGAUCUCGUUUUUCUUCUAAGAAAUCUAAGUUUUAAAGUUGAAGAUCAUCAUUGCGCUCGAGAUUGAAAUGUUGGACUCAAUAAGUUGGCAUUCAUAUUUCUACAUGAACUACAGCUUCAGUGCCAAAAGCCAGAGAGAAUGGGGUUUCGCCGGUGGGUAUCCUUGGAGUAGUUUUGUAUGACCAUAGGACAAAGGGAUGCUCUUCCAGUCAAGCACCUUUAGCUUUUUCAAGCUUAAUCUUGAGGGUUUGCUUUAUCACUCGAUUGGUUGCCUCUACUUGCCCAUUUGCUUGAGGAUGAGCUGGAGAGGAAUAGUGAUUUGUUAUGCCAAGGGCCUUACAGAAGGCUUUAAAACUGGCAUUGUCAAAUUGCUUGCUGUUAUCAGUGAUGAUGGUUUGAGGGACUCCAAAUCUAUAAAUGAUGUUUCUUUUAAUGAAGUCUGUUGUCUUAUUUUCAGUAAUUGUUGCCAAAGGCUCUGCUUCGACCCACUUAAUGAAGUAGUCUAUAGCGACAAUACCAAAAUUUACUUGGACUUUUCCUGUAUGCAAAGGGCCAAUAAGAUCAAUACCCCACUGGGCAAAAGGCCAAGGUGAAAACAAAGGAAUUAAGUCUUCCAGUGGCUACUUGGAAUUUUAGCAAACCUUUGACAUUUAUCACAUUUCUUCGUCAACUCAAGGGCAUCUUCAUGCAUGAUUGACCAAAAAUAUCCUUGCCUUAUUGCCUUGUAUGCUAGCAUUCUGCCACCAAAGUGGUUUCUACAUAUUCCCUCGUGAAUUUCUCUUAAAACAUAAUUUGCAUCCGCAAGAGCAAGACAUUUCAAGAGCGGAAGAAAGAAGCCUCGUUUGUAUAGUUCACCAUCAACAAACAGGUAUCUGGCAGCUCUAAGUCUGACUUUUCGAGCUUCAUUUUUAUCUGCUGGUAACUCCCUGUUUAUCAAAUACUUUUCAAUAGGCUCCAUCCAUAUUGCCCUUCGAUCUGUAGUCGCAAUUUCUUUAACCUCUGGUCGCAUGAUACUUGGUUUUGGGAUCGUAGCAAUUGGGAUUGACCUCAACAAAUUUCCUUCAGGUGUAGAUUCGAGUUGGACUAAGACAUCUACUCGUUGGUUUUGUUCUCGAGGAAUUUGCCUUAUUUCAAACCUCUCAAAAUCUUUCAGCAACUCAUUAACUCGCUCAAGAUAAGCAAUCAUGUUUAAAUCUCUGGCUUCAUAGUUACAAUUGACUUGAUUGACUACUAGCUGUGAGUCGCUAAAUAUCAACUAGUUCUUCACACCAAGGGCUUGCACCAAUCUAACUCUAGCAAUCAGGGCUUCAUACUCGACCUCAUUAUUAGUUGCAUCAAAUCCGAAUCGCAGGGCACAUUCAAUUUCUGUUUUAUCCAUGUGAUAAUAAUCAAUCCUCAUCUACUGCCCUUACUAUUAGAUGUGCCAUCAACAUAAAGAGUCCAUUGCUCGAAUUGUUCUCCCAUAACUUCUGAAUAUGGAGUUUCUACUUCUAUAAAGUCUGUAAUGAAAUCUGCUACUGCUUGCCCUUUAACUAAAGUGCGAGACUUAAAUUGGAUAUCAAAUUCACCCAACUCUACUGCUGAUUUGACCAAUCUUCCUAACACAUCAGGUUUUGCACAUCAGGUUUUGCCAAAGUCUGUUUUAAUGGUUGAUUUGUUAAUACGAUGACCUCAUGGGCUUAGAAGUAUGGUCGCAAUUUCUGCGCUGAAAUGACUAGCGUUACAACAACAUUCUCUAAAUUUAAAUAUGGAAUCUCUGCAUCGGCCAAAGCUUGACUUGUGUAAUAAAUCGGCCUUUGGACUCCAUUGUCAUCUCGAACAAGAAUGGAACUUGUUGCUGAGUUAAAAACUACUAAGUACAUGUAAAUUAACUCGCCCUUAGAUGGUUUGACUAAAAGCGGUGGAUUGCUGAGAUAGUCUUUUAGCUUCUGAAACGCUUCUUUGCAUUCUUCAGUCCAUAUCAUCUCUUUCAUUUUCUUUAAGGCUUUAAAAAAAGGAAGGCAUUUGUUAAUAACCUUUGAGACAAAACGAUCUAGAGCAUCAACUAACCCAGUUACCUGCUGGAUUUCUUUCACAUUCUUUGGUGACUUCAUGUUGACCAAGGCUUGGAUUUUUUCAGGGUUAACUUCAAUUCCUCUUUAAUUUACCAUAAAGCCUAAAAACUUUCCUGAGGCCACUUCAAAGGCACAUUUAGCUGGAUUAAGCUUUAUCUUGAAGUUCAUUAAAAUAUCAAAAGUCUUAUGGAGAUUUCUGAUGCGAUCAAUUGAGUUUUUGCUUUUUGUCAGCAUGUCAUCCACAUAGACUUCCAUUGUGUGACCUAUCUGAUUGGCAAACAUUGCAUCCACGAGCCUUUGAUAGGUUGCCCUAACAUUCUUAAGCCCAAAACGCAUGACUUUAUAACAAUAAAGGCCUCGAUCAGUAAUGAAUGAAGUAUUUUCUUGAUCAGGCUCAUGCAUCCGAAUUUGGUUAUACUCGGAAUAGGCGUCCAUGAAACUAAAACGUUCAUGCCCAGCUAUGGCGUCUACAGGCUGAUCAAUUCGUGGCAAAGGGAAGCGAUCAUUAGGACAUGCCUUGUUGAGGUCAGUAAAGUCUACGCACAUCCUUCACUUUCCAUUGGCUUUCUUUACCAUGACAACGUUUGCAAGUCAUUGUGGAUACCUAGUUUCUUUAAUAAAUUUUUCCUUUAAGAGUUUGUCCACCUCAUCUUUAACAGCUGCAGCUCUCUCAGCAUUCAAACUUCUCAUCUUUUGUCGAACAGGUUUUGUAAGAGGCUUAGUACUUAAGCGAUGAACAAUUAUCCUCGGAUCAAUUUUCGGCAUAUCCUGGUGAGUCCAUGCAAACACAUCUGAGUAUUCCUUUAGGAAAUCCACAAGUUCUUCUCAAAGUGGAUUGACUAAUUAGGACCCAAUUUUAACUACCUUGUUGAAUCAUCUCCAAGGGGAAUCUCGACCAAGUCUUCAACGGGAUUCGCUUGUUAAUCAUCCCUUACUGUUUUGGGGUCCAGACUUGUGAUUUGAAAUGACUCAUUUCUUUUCCUGAAGGAAAUCUCAUAACAUUUACAAGCCUCUUUCUGAUUUCCUCGAACACUCAUAUGCCAGCCUCCGUAGGAAACUUCAAAGUAUAAUGAUAAAUAGAAGUUGCGGCCUUUAAUAGCAUAUAAGGUUAGUCGACCUAAGACUGAAUUGUAUGCACUCGGUUGAUCUACCACUAUAAAUUGAACCAUAGAAGUAACUUUAGUCGGAGUUUUACCAAAGGAUACAACAAGCUCAAUCAUUCCCUCAAGGAUAACACUUCCCCCAGCAAAUCCAUGCGAUGGAGUAAUGUAUGGCAUUAAUUAGGAUCUUUCCAAUCCCAUUUUUUGCAAAAGCUGAAAGAAAUAAUAUAUCAACUGAGCUUCCAUUAUUAAUUAAGAUUCGGUGAAGUCGCUUGUUUGCCACAAGUAGAGUUACAACAAUGGCACACAAUGAGGGUGAUGAAUGCCCUGAGUGUCCUCUUUAGAAAACAUUAUUGGAGUGUCAUGAAACCUUGAAUUCUGUAGGCGAUCUGUUAAAUUUAUUUCCAGCCCACUAGGCUCAUGCCUUAUUUGCCUGGCUAAGUUCUUCCUCACCUUGCCAGAAUUACCAGCAAGAGGACUACCCCAAAUAUGGUUGACAUCAGACAUAUUAUCAUCACUAUCAUUUUCUUUCUUUUUCGCUUUGUCUUUUCUUAAACAUUUUUGUAGGUCUUUAUUUUCUCGACUACUUUGGCCUUUGACAUAUUCUUGUAGCUGACCUUGUCACAUCAAACUUUCAAUUUGUUCUUUGAGGUCAAAACCUCAGAUGUAUCGUGUCCAACAUCUUUAUGAAAGUCGCAAUACUUCUUUUGGUUUCUCCGUGAACGAUCAUAUUUCAGUGGAGGAGGAGCUUUAAACAAAGUGGAAUUUUUCACUUGCAUCAAAAUGUGCUCCCUAGGAGCAUUCAACUCAUUAUAGUUAGUAAAUUGUAUAUGAGGCCAAAAAAGAGGCUCUUGAGAGCUAAGUUUGUCCUUAGGGCGGAAUUGAUCCCCUCUAGAAGCUUGAUCGGGUCGUCCAAGUGUUACAUCACACCUGUCUUCCUUCUUCUUUUUUUUUUUACUUGAUUCACCUUUUCCUCGCCUUUUCUUACUUUGAAAUCUUUCUUUUGCAUUAGCAUAUUUCUAAGCCUGAGAGAGCAUCUCUUAAUAUAUUGAUGGUGGAUUCUUUAUUACUGACCACCAUAGUCUUCCUAUCUGUAGGCCUUCCAUUAACCUGGAAAGAGCAACCCCAUCAUCAUAUCCAUCCAUUUGAGUGGUCUCAGCAUUAUACCUUUGAAUAUACUCCCUUAACGAUUCACCCUUAUAUUGUUUCACUGUCAAGAGGCAUGUAAUUGGUUUUCCUCUUUGUCUUGCACUACAAAAAUGCAUCAUAAAUUCUCGGAUCAAUUUGAAUAAAGAAAUAGAGUUUGGCUUUAACCUUUGAAACCACCUUCUUGCAGCCCUAGAUAAAGUGAGAAGAAAAGCCCGACAUAAAAUGGCCAAAGACACGUCAUGAACUUCCAUAAAAGAGUGAUAUAGCUCGACAUGCACCAUAAGAUCCAUUUGUCAGUCGUAAGGCUCCAUUAAUGGAAGUCGAAACCCUGACGGUUAUCUAGCUCUCAUGAUUUCUUGUGUAAAUGGUGGUUCAGACUCAGCCAUCAUAUCGUCUUGUGGUCUCAUUCCAUGAACCAUUUGUUUAAGCCUUUGCAUUCUCUCUUGUAAAUCAGAUGGCUCAUUAUUAUCUCAAGUUGCUCUUUGUCGUGUCCGUCUCUGAUUGAGAGCAUGUUUCAAAUUAUCAUCAUUCAAAUCAUUUUUUGAUCUUGUCUGGGAAGAGCCGGAGUUUGCUGCAUUGCUAUCAAAGUUGUUGCAGUUAGCUUGUUCAUCAUUUCGGGCUUGAAAUUAAUCGAACAUUCUAUUGAAGUUUAUUGUCAGCUGCUCUAUUUGCCUUUAAAGUCGGGCAAUCCUGCCGCACCUUGGCGACGAGGCUAAACGUUUGGAUCUGGCUAUAGAUGUUAUGCAUCAAAUUGUUGAUUUGGAUUUUAUUAGAGGUUAGGUGGAUGUAUUGGGACUGUAGAUUCACUUCCAGGAUCUACAACAUAUCUUUGUCGUCAAAAAUAAAUCUUGCCAUCCCUAGAAAUUUCAUCAUCAGCAUCAAGCUCGAAGUAGUUAUAGUUGUCAUCCAUGCUCAAGAUGAUCACAUUGGCUUUUUAUUCAUCCCCACAAACGGCGCCAGCUGUCAAUGCAAUUUUUUGCUCGACACAUAUUAACUUUUUACUUCAGAUUCAUUUCUAUAUUAAGCUUUGUGAAUCAUCUCUCCAUGAUAUGAAAGUUUCUAUUGUCAAAGGUUCUGCAAAAGAAAUGAAAUUGUCAAAGGGUGUCAGGGUUGCCGGCCAUGACCCUCUGACGCUUAAGUCAGCAUUUCAAUUUUGAUUAUAAAAAGAGAAUUUAAAGAAAGAAGGACAACAUUUCGUUGCCCUUUUUCUCUUGGCCUCUGAUAUGGGAAGUUUUGAUCAUUAUAUAGGCAAUUUGAUUAAUGAGGUGAAGGUGUCAUCACGACACGUGGUAUUUUUUUAGUGACAAGUGUCCGCAAAACUCAUGUAUAAAGACACCUAUCAUUACAUGUCAAGCUUGCUCAUUGACAAGUUUUCUUUGAACACUUGUCAUGAUUUCAAGCUCUUAACAUUCGUUGGGCUUAAGCACUUCAGCCCUUAUGUUGUUUCCUUUUAAAGAGGAUUGGUUUUGUGGAAUUUCGCAUGUAUGUAACCUUCGUAGAAUGUUACUUCCAAGUAAUUGCUGAACAUCUAGAUUAUUAUUCGUAGAAAAUGGACCUAGGUCAUUCUUUAUAAUCACCUAGUAAUUGCUGAACAUCUACGAAGGUUACAAGUAAUUCUUUAAAAUGGACCUAGGUCAUUCUUUAUAAUGACCUAGCAAUCGCAUGUAUGUAACUUUCGUAGAAUGUUACUUCCAAGUAAUUGUUGAACAUCUAGGUCAUUAUUCGUAGAAAAUGGACCUAGGUCAUUCUUUAUAAUGAAUGGACAUAAGUCGCUCUUUGUAGACACAUACCUUUGGCACUUUUUCGAAGGGCGUUCUACUUAGAAUGGACCUAGGUCUUUCUUUAUAAAGAGUGGACCUAGGUCGUUCUUUGCAGAAAUAUACAUUUGGCGCUUUGCCAAAGAGUUGCUCUUUGGGCGUUUUAUUUAAAAUGGACUUAGGUCCUUCUUUAUAAAGAGUGGACCUAGGUCGCUCUUUGUAUAAAAUCGAUCUAGGUCACUUUUUGUAGAAACUUACCUUUAGCGCUUUGUCGAAGAGUUGCCCUUUGGGCGUUUUAUUUAAAAUGGACCUAGGUCCUUCUUUAUAAAGAGUAGACUUAUGUCGCUUUGGUAAAAAAUCGAUUUAGGUCACGUUUUGUAGAAACUUACCUUUAGCGUUUUUGCCCAAAAAUUGCUCUUUAGGCGUUUGAUUUAAAAUGGACCUAGGUCACUUCUUAUUUGGCCUAUACUCAUGUGGGCUUUUUUUUAGGCUUAUUAUAAUUUUGAUACAACAAAAAUAAAAAAAUAAAAAAAUUUUGAAACAGUAGUUUAUAUGCGUGCUUAGUAAAGUAAACAUUUCGUGGGUCACAUUUGAUUCAAUUAAACACGUGCUAGUUCUUUAUUGGUAUCAUUUUUUAAAUGAUAUUUUUGUAUUUAUUUUAUAAUAUAAAAAUAAUUAAUUUUUUUGAAUAUAAAAACAUAUUUGGUAGCUUGAUUUACAAUAAUAUUUAAAAAUGAAAUCAAUCAAACAUAUGUCUAUUUAUUUGUUUGUUAAAAACAAUAAUAUCAUAUUAAAAAUUAAGAAAUAAAAAAACUGUUGAAACAGUAGUUUAUAUGCGUGCACAGUAAAGUAAAUGGCUAUGCUUUAUAUUUCGUGGGUCACAUUUGAUUUUGAUUGAACACAACUAAGUUUUGUUUUGGUAUUAUUUUUUAAAUUAUAUUUUUGUACUUAUUUUAUUUUAUGAUAUAAAAGUAAUUAAUUUUGGUGAAUAAAAAAAACAUAUUUGAUAGCUUAAUUUAAAAUAAUAUUUAAAAAUAAAAUUAAUCAAAUAUAUGUUUGAUUGUUUGUUCUUUGAAAAUAAUAAUAUUAUAUUAUUAAAAAUAAUAAAAUAAAAAAAUGGUUGAAACAAUAGUUUAUGUGCACGCACAGUAAAAUAAAUAGCUAUAUUUUAUGGUAAAUGAUAAGUUACAUUCAUGCAAUUUACACCCACACACUAUUUAUGUAUGUUUUACUUUUGUUUAACAUGGGUCCCAGAAUUAGAACACUGUCUAUGUAAUAGUAAAUUAUUAUUUUUCAAUUUACUGUGACAAGUUUUUAAAUGAGUUGCACUCAUUCUCACACAACGUGAAAAUAGGCAGAAAAACAAUGCCACCAAAACGCCUUUUCUUUUUUUCUUUUUUUUCUUGUUUUAAAACAUAAAGCACUAAUCCAAAAACUGUAGCAAACUGUCGUGAACCACCUGAAAUUUUAGGCCGAAUAGGUUAAAUCUAUAAGCCAAGGUGUGUUAGUUUUGCUUGAUUCUAGAAGCUUCUAUCACUAGUCUUUUCUAGUAUAUUCUCACUUGUACAUAACUAAGAAAUCUCCAGAUUUUGCUAGAGUAUUGUAACAUAUAGUUUGUACAUAGAUUUUCCUAUAUCAAUCUAAGCUUUGCUGGGUACGAGAGCUCUCACUAAGUCUUGAGAACUCUUUAGAGUUAGAACCUUAUAGAACUAAGCAAACUUCUUUAUAAAUAAAGUAGGGCGCUUAGCAUUUUCAGCAAGCAACUCAAGCAAGUAAUCUUGCAAGCUAUCAAGCUCUCUUGUGCACACACUCUUGUGAAUAACACUGAUUCUCUUUGUCUCAAUUGCUCGCUUUUCUCUCUAGCUCUUUCGUAAGCAAUUUCGCAUACUUUUAACUAGACGAGAAGCUUAAUAGGUUUACUUUGCAAAUGUUGGGCUAUAGUUGCAUAAGCACUGCAUGGGUUUGUUGUGCAAUAUACUCAUUCCGUGACAAAACACACCAUAAUUUUCCAUGAAUUAACAAAAUGAUGGAGACUGGGGGUAAGAAACCACUAUGUUAUCAUAACUUUGCCUUUUAGUAGGUUAUCUCAAAUAACAUACAUAUUAUGAAUAUGUGUCCUUCAUAGAUACAAAAAGAAAUAUUCAAAAGGAUAAUCCUGAAAAAUCAUAAAAUCAUUUAAUAAAUUAUACUUGUGAAUAUAUAUGUUGAAAGAAUCAUCUAUAUAUAAUUCUAUAAACACCAUUGAGAUACACUUGUGCCCUUAAAAAAUAGAGUAAUAAUAUAAUCAUAAAUGUUGAUGCAUAUUUCUAGUCAACUUAGAAAAUUAAUUUACGCGGGGGCGAUAUAAUGAAAAGACACAGAGACUUAAUAUGGUUCGGCUUUUGGCAUACGUCCACGGGUAGAGAAAGAUAAAUAUUUUAUUAAGAUCGCACUUACAACUUGACUUUCUCUCUCUUUGCUAUUUUUUUUUUUUCGAUGCCUUACACUAUGAGAGACCUCUGCUUUUAUAGUCUUCUAUAGAUAAAGUCCUUUUCUAACUUGAACUCUAUCUAACUUUCCUCUAUCCUCUAGGAUUUUAAUUACAAAGUAUUUCUACCUUUUCAUAAGUUGUAUCUGAGUCAAACUCUACUUAAUUUGCUUCUAGGCCAAGCAAUGCCCUUCUAUUGUCCUUCAACGAUAGCUCCUCUACUCGGACUUGACUUUUCUUGUGCGAUCCAUAAUCUAGAACUGAGUCAAGGGCUGUCUGGAACCAUGAUUUUUGCCAUCCUCCACUCCUGCUCCCUGUUCCUGGGGAACCUAAUUCUUGCUCUAUGUUCCUGGGGGAACAUGAUUCUUGUUCCCCAUUCUUGGGGAGCAUGGCUUCUGGGGGUCUUAAGGGUAUAAUUCCUGCAUAUUUUCUUAGGCCCAUUCCUGGGGUAGAAUCCUUAUUCCCAUUCUUGGGGAGCACACUGGGGCCCAUUCCUAGAGGUGAAACCUCUGCUCCAUAUUCUUGGGGGAGUAUAUUUUCUAGGGCCCACUCCUGGAGGUGAAACCUCUGCUCCCCAUUCUUAGGGGAACAUAUUUUCUGGGGCCCCAAUCCUGAGGGUAAAAUCUUGCUCCCCAUUCUUGGGGGAGCACACUUUCUGGGGUUCAUUCCUGGAGGUAGAACUUCUACUUCCCAUUCUUGGGGGCGCAUAUUUUCUGGGGCCCCAGGGUGGAAUCCUGGGGGCAGAAUCUCUACUCCCCAUUCUUGGGGGAGCAUAUUUUUUGGGGCCCCAAUCCUAGGGUAGAAUCUUGGGGUAGAAUCCCUGCUCCCCAUUCUUGGGGGAGCAUACUUUCUAGGGCCCAUUUCUGGAGGUAGAACCUCUACUUCUCAUUCUUGGGGGAGCGUAUUUUUUGGGGCCCCAAUCCUGGGGAGGAACCUUGGGGUAGAAUCCCUGCUCCCCAUUCUUGGGGGAGCAUACUUUCUAAGACCCAUUCCUGGAGGUAGAAUCUUUAUUUCCCAUUCUUAGGGAAGCAUAUUUUCUGGAGCCCCAAUCUUGGGGGUGGAACCCUGGGGUAGAAUCUCUGCUUCCCAUUCUUAAGGGAGCACAGCUUCUAGGUUUCAUUCCUGAAGGUAGAACCUCUACUCCCCAUUUGGAGGAGCAUAUUUUCUAAGGCCCCAAUCCUGUUUGUGGAACCCUGGGGUAGAAUCCCUACUCCCCAUUCUUGGAGGAGUACACUUUCUAGGGCCCAUUCCUAGAGCUGUAACCACUGCCCCCAUUCCUGGGAGCAUAUUUUCUAAGGCCCCAAUCCUGGGGAUGGAACCCUGGGAGUAGAAUUCCUGCUCCCCAUUCUUGGGGACGCACACUUGUUGGGGGUAACACUUAGCGCUUUAUUGACUACUUUAUAUUUUCUGGGGUAAAAUCUCGUUUAGUCCUUAUAUUUUAAGGUUAGUGCUCGUUCAGUCCCUAUAUUUUUAAAAAUACCUCAAAACAUCCCCGACAUUAAAUUAUUAACACAUUUCCUCUUACUUUUUGUUGCUUUUCGCUUAAUUUUUACAAUAUUACUCUCUUACAAUAUUUUUUUGGACAUUAGUAAAAAGAAAAAAAAUUAAUUAUCAAUUUAAUCUCAAAAAAUAAAAUAGAAACAAAAUUAAUAUAUGUUACUUAUUUGUAACACACUAUUGAAGAAUUAAUAUAUUAAUUUUUUUAUUACUAAUGUCCAAAAAAAGGUAAUUUAAUUAUUUUUACAAUAAAAAUUUUUUGGACGCAUGUAAGCUUUCACAAAAAUUAAUAUAUAUUCUUUUUGUUUUUAUUUUAUUUUUGGGGUUAAAUUGAUAAUUUAAUUUUUUUUCUUUUUAUUAAUUUUAUAAAAAGAAACAUUAUUGUAAAAGGAUAAUAUUGUAAAAGCAAGUCAAAAAAAUAAAAAGUAACAGCAGGGAUGUCAAUAAUUUAAGGGUAGGGAUAUUUUGAGGUAUUUUUAAAAAUAUAUGGACUAAAUAAGCACUAAUUUUAAAAUAUAGGGAUGAAACGAGCGUUUACCCUAUUUUCUACAAUAAUAAAUAUGUUCGUAUAAAUAUUAUUAUACAAAUGAAUGUGGAAAAUAAAAUUUAAUAUUUUUGUUGACCGAUCAUCUUGACCCAAUCUAUAAAAGAUUGUCCGUAAAAAUGCUUGUGAUUCUAUAAUUAUUCUUAAAAAUAUAAUGACAUCUUUUGACAAUUCGGGUUGCAUUAAUGUAUCUGUUGUCAAUUUCAAAAUAUUUCUUUGUUGGCUUUGCUUAUUUUCUUUGAAGAGAUUGUAGAGUAGCAAAACAAAACUAUACAGCAACUUCAAUUAUAUUUCAAUAUGUUUUUUCAUUAAAAAGUAGAGGGGACGAAAUCCAAAUCAUUUUUUUUUUUUUGACAAUUCAUGAAUGAAGGAGAAUGGAGAUAACAGCUAAGCAAACAACUCAGCUCAUUCGGUCAAUAUCUAAACAUCAAUCUCUCUCUCUCUUUCUCUCUCUCUCUCUCUCUCUCUCUCUCUCUCGAUGCUUCACACUCUAAUUUCUUCUGUUUAUAGAUUUUCUUUUCUUUUCCCUUUUUUUCUCAGAGGGAAGCAACCUUGAAAGCAAAGCCUUUACUAAAUGAAAGCUCAUUUGACUUGUAUUGCAAUGGCUUCCCAGAUCGCAUCAGACUUACAGAUAUGGGGUUGUUCUUCAGGGCCUAAUGUAUUUUUACCAACAUGGCAAGCUAUAGAGGUACAGGACACUAUUUGCAGCCGCUUGAAACAUAAGCCACCAAUAUUGCAUGCUUUUACUACCGUUUCCAAAUCUCUCCCAGCUUUUAUAAGAGAUUGAAGACAACGAAAGGCCAUGAAGAUUUUGGUUCAUUUUUCCCCUGGUCCUUUCUAAGGAAGGCUAUUUCUUCCGUGUUUCCUAAACUUAGUUUACUCUUCUUUCUGCCAUCACUAGCUCUCUCGGGUGGACGAACCUGUUCCAUUUAUUCUUUUUAAAGAUAAUAAGAAAUUGAAAACUUAUAUAAAUAGUGUACAAAAUCAUAUUCUUAUUAAUACCUCAAUUUUAUGCUUUAAUAGGUACCCACAGAGCUAGUAAGUGAACGUAGAAUUCCUUUAUUGAAUAAAAGGGAUGUUUGCCUAGCAAAAAUUUAUAACCCUCCUAGUGUGCCUAAAGUGUUUUUGGAUCAAUUUGAGAGUGAUUUCACAUCAUUUCUCAAAUUUUGGUCAUAAGAGUUGAAGACUGGAGGUCGUAUGGUUCUUAACUUUUUAGGUAAUGAUAAAUAUCAUACUGGUAUCUUCGAGCUUUUGGGAAUGGUGUUAAACGACAUGGUCUCUGAGGUAUCCUCUUUCUGUUUGUUACACAUAUAUACAAGUAUAAUAUUCUAAAUAAGAUAUGUUUACACAAAGUUAGUUUUAUACAUAUUAGUUUUAUACACACACACAUAUACUUUCUUACAUGAAAAUUAUUAGGUGAAUUAUUGCUAAACGAUGUUAUUUUGUAACAAAGCAAUUACAAUGUCCACUUGUAAAAAUCGAUCAUUAUUUAUCACGCCUCUAGUUCAUAAAUUUAUAUAUGUGUGUGAGAAUUUUAUAUACUUUAAAGAGAAUUACUAUCUCUUUUGAACUAACUAGGGGCUGAUUGAAGAAUCAAAAUUGGAGUCAUUUAGGCUCGGUAUUUGUUUUCUAAAUAUUGUUUUUAUGAAACAAAAAUGAGAAUGAAAAUGUUAUUUAAAUUUAUUUAUAAAAAUUAAAAAUGUGUUUCGUAUCAUUUUCAAAAAUAAUUUUAAAAAUGAAAAAAAUAAAAUACGUUCGGUAGGAAUAUUUUAAAGAAUUAUUAUUGGAAUAAUUUCCAUUAAUUUAAAAUUAAGUAAUGAAUAAUUAUUUUUAUUAUUUAAUUAGUUUGAUUAUUUUUAUUUUAAUAAUAAAUUAGGUGAUCUUGUUAAUUUUUUUGUUUAAAGAAAAAUAAUAAGCUCUACAUAUUUGAUUUAAUUAAUAUUUAAAACAUAAAUAUUAUAAUGUACAUAAGAAAGAAAAGAUUUUUGAGAGGGAAAUUGAUUUUUUGGGCAUAGUAAUAGUAGUAGUAGUAGUAGUAGUAGUAAUAAUAAUAAUAAUAAUGUUGUUGAUAUUAUUAUUAUUUUGUGAGAAGGUGGAAGAAAAUUGUUCAUUUUAAAACUUAAAACUGUAUUGGAAAACAAGAAAAAGUUGUUUUCUUAUUUUCUUUGUUAAAAGUAUAGAAUGAAUUUUAUAUUUUCAAAAAUACUUUCAAAAACAAUCUACCGAACACGUAUUUAGUAUUUUCUGAAUUCAAAAAAUAAAAAUCAGAAUUUGAAAACAAUGCCGAACCCACCCUUAAUUAUCCAGUCUAUACACCUUGUGUUGAAGAAGUAAGACAAGUUAUGGGAAGCAAAGGAUCCUUUAACAUCCAUCAGCAUGAAACAUCGCAUAUAAGUUGGUCAGCAGGCUAUGAGAACGAUAACAAAGGCUUGGAGUUAAACAAGCACGCAAGAGCCAAGAAUGUGGCAAAUAAUAUAAAGUGAGAGUCCCUUCUGGCCAAUCAUUUUGGAAGUGCAAUCAUGGAUGAUUUGUUCCUUAGAUAUACAAUCAAGGUACGUGCGCAAUUGGAAAUGGGGUUAGGAGCUUACACAUUUCUGUUACUUUACUUGAUUAAGAAAUGAAUUAUGUAAUUUCAAAAAAAAAAAUUACGUUUUUUGUACGUUUAUCUUUCAGUUCUUAUCUUACGUGAAGCUCUGUUGUCCUCGUUCUUGUUGUAGUUUGUUUUGUUUGUUUGUUUUUCUUGUAAUACGUAUCACACUGCGUGAAAUGACUAAGCUUUGUAUCAAUUUAGGUUAUUUAUGUACUUAUGCUAUUUUAUGUUGUUUUUGUUAAAAGCUACAGAGUAUAGAAGAAUUCUAACUGUUAUUAAAAUGAGAAUAAUUUUGGCUAUUAAAUAGCCUUACAUAACGAACCAAGCAACAAAACAGGAACCAAGUUUAACUGACUCCUAAAGACAUGGAAGACUAAAAUCAACAAAUAAUGUCACCCUUAACAAUAGGAAUUUUAUUUUGACUAAGUAGUAACAAAAUCAACUCAACAUUUCCUCCCUUAAACUGAAUGCUAAUGCAUCAGUUUACAUCAGUUUCAGAGCAAACUCCUAAUGAUGCACGCAGCUUUAGGAAGACAUCCAGCUUGAGUGGCUUAGUCAUUAAAUCGGCUAAUUGUUCUUGUGUGCUGCAAUAGACCAAUUCUACAGUACCAGCCUUUGUAAGCUCCCGAAGAAAAUGAAAACGCACAUAUAUGUGCUUACUUCGACCAUGCAUUACUGGGUUCUUCGAAAGUUUGAUUGCAGAACUACUAUCACACUGAAUAAUAGUUGUCUUACCUUGCUUCAGACCCAAAUUAUCCAACACCCUUUUCAACCAAACUGUUUGACAUGCACAAGAAGCCGCAGCAAUGAAUUCAGCUUCAGUAGUGGAGAGACUCACUAUUGGUUGCUUUUUUGAUAGCCAAGAUACUGCUCCUGAGCUCAACAAAAAAACAUAACCUGAAGUGCUUUUUCUAUCUUCUAAAUCCCCAGCAUAAUCACUAUCAGUGUAAGCAAUGAGUUCAUUAUUUCCUCCCUUCUUAUAGAAAAUUCCGAAAUCAAGUGUUCCCUUCAAAUAUCUCAGCACCCUUUUAGCUACUUGGAGAUGAAGCUCAGUAGGAUUCUCCAUGUACCUACUGAUAAGACCCACUACGAACAUCACAUCCGGUCGAGUAGCUGUAAGAUACAUGAGACUACCCACAAUUUGUUUGAAAUAAAUUUUGUCUACCUUAACACCACUUUCAUCCUUCACAAGUUUACAACCUGGAACAAUUGGAUUUUGAACUGAGUUGCUUCCAUCCACCCCAAACUUUUGCAGCACCUGUAACGCAUAUUUUUUCUAACUGAUAAACACACCUCUUGAAUUCUGCAAGAUUUCAAGACCAAGAAAAUACCUCAUUUUGCCAAGAUCAGUCAUAUCGAACUCAUGUUUCAUGGAACUUUUAAAUUCUGAGACCAUCAAUUCAUCAUUGCCCGUAAAGAUGAGAUCAUCUACAUACAAACUCAUAAUAAAAAAUUUCCCUUCUUUCUCUGUUUUGAUGAACAGGUAUGUUCAUAGUCACAUUUCUCAAAACCCUCUUUCAAAAAAUAAGCUUCUAUACGGCUAUACCAAGCACGCGGUGCUUGCUUAAGGCCGUAGAGUGCCUUUUUUUAAUUUAUAAACCUUGUGUUCAUAACCCUUUUUCACAUAACCAAGCGGCUGUUCCACAAAAACCUCUUCAUUCAGCUCACCAUAUAGAAAUGCCGACUUAACAUCUAGCUGAUAGAUAGCCCAUCCUUUUUGAGCUGCAAGAGCUACUACCAAACGAAUUGUUUCCAUACGUGCUACAGGUGCGAAUACUUCUGUAUAAUCUACCCCAUGUUGCUGAGAGUACCCCUUCACUACAAGCCUUGCCUUGUGUUUAUCAACUUCACCAUUCUCAUUAAACUUGGUUUUGUAAACCCAUUUCACUCCAAUUUUCUUUCCACCUUCAGGUAAUUCUGUCAAUUCCCAUGUAUCAUUCCGUUUUAUUGCUUCUAUUUCCACAUCCAUGGCUUUCCUCCAUUUCUCGCUUUUUACGGCAUCGUCGAAAUGAAUAGGAUCAGCAGUUGCAAACAUGGCCAACUGAACUUCUUCUUCAGAUAGUCCCUCUCCUGUCUCAUAGUCUUGCAUCCAAGCUGGUGGUCUCCUAAUUCUCCCUUCAUUCGAGCUAGGUGAGCUUUCCUCGGCUGGAGAAUCAGAGGAAAAAUUCUCCCCUUCUUCAAUAUUAGCAUCAGAAUUAGAUUCACUUCUCCCUACAUUUCUGUCGAUCUCCACCACUUUUUCCUCACGAUCACCCCAUUCCAAAUCACAUGCAAUUGCUUCCUCAUACUUCUUGUCCAAAUCCCAGCUUUUGUCUUCCUCGAACACAACAUCUCGACUUAUAAUAAUCCUUUGUGAAAUAGGAUCAUAAAGCCGGUAAGCCUUCGACUCCUCGCUUACUCUCAACAGAAUACAAAUCUGACUUUUAUCAUCUAGUUUUGUUCGUUUGCUAUCAGGCACAUGAACAUGAGAGAUGCAGCCAAAGACUCUGAAAUACUCUACCGAAGGUUUGAUUCCACUCCACGCUUCUUCCGGAGUCAUAUUUCUCACAGCAAAGGUUGGACUUCGAUUUAGAAUAUGUAUCGUCCAGUUGACUGCUUCAGGCCAGAAGGUUUUGGGGACUCUUUUUUCUGAAAUCAUGCUUCGUACCAUAUUCAUAAUGGUCCUGUUCUUUCGUUCUGCGACUCCGUUUUGUUGUGGUGUGUAUGCUGCUGUCAACUGUCUCUGUAUACCAUUUGCAUCACAAAAAUUAUUGAAUUCUUGUGAUGUAAACUCUCCUCCUCGAUCAGUUCGCAGUGCUUGAAGUGGAGUGUUUGUCUUUUUUUCCACUCGGAUCUUAAAUCUUUUGAAAACAUCAAAGGCUUCGGAUUUUCUGUCAAAAAGAAAACCCAUGUUUUUCUACUGAAAUCAUCAAUAAAGGUAAGUAAAUACCGUUUCUUGCUGUUGGAGAUCGGUUUGAUCGGUCCGCAAAUAUCAGCGUGUAACAACUGAAGGAUUUGGGAAGCUCUCCAGCUGCUUCUUUUUGGAAAUGAAUCCCUGUGCUGCUUGCCCACCAAACAGUCCUUGCAUAGCCUUGAAGGAGUUUUAAGUUGUGGUAAACCAUUCACCAUUGCCUUUUGUUGAAGAGUUUUUAAACCCGUAAAACUCAAAUGUCCAUAUCUGCAGUGCCAGAGCUACACCAGAUCCUCAGUAAUUGUAUUGAAACAAACAGAUGUUAUAGGUUUAGAAAUAGCUUGCAAUAUAAACAUUCGAUUUGCAGACAUCUUUGUAUCCAUGAUCAAACCUCUCUUAUGAUGAAACACCUUGCACCUUCCAUGUUGGAACAGAACAGUAAGCCCCUUUUCUUGCAAUUGCCCAAUGCUCAACAGGUUGCUCUUCAAUUCAGGUACAUAGAAAACUUCGGUAAUAAUUUGUGUUGUUCCAUUCACUUGUAACCUGAUGUUACCCUUUCCUAUUACAGUCAUGCUUGAAUUGUUGCCCAACUUCACAGAAUCUCUAAAAUUUUCAUUUAGAUCUGAGAGAUAUUCCUUUUUUCCACACAUAUGAUUGCUGCAGCCCGAGUCAAGAUACCACAUAUCUUCCUUGUUGUCCUUGUUCACAUCUACGCAUGCCAUCAACAACAUCUCUUCUUGAGUCUCUGCAAAAUCUGCUCUUAUCUCAUUACUUGGACACUCCCAUUGAAAAUGUCCAAGUUUGUGACAAUUAUAACACUCCACUGUGGAUUUGUCAAAUUGUUGUCUGCCCCGUCCUCUUCCUCUUCCUCGAAAACCUCCUCUACCACGACCUCUUGCUCCUGAACUAUUCUCAUGUGUUAUCUCCAGCGCCUGUUCCUCUCCAUUAUUCCUAUGAAAUUUCUGCUCAUGAACAAUUAGUGAACUUUCUAGCUCAUCAAUUGAAAGCUGAUCAAUGUUCUUUGACUCCUCAAUUGAACAAACAAUAUAAUUGAACUUCUCAGUCAAUGAUCGAAGAAUCUUCUCUACCACUUUAACAUCUUGCAUAUCCUCUCCAUAAUUUCUCAUCUUAUUAGCUACUGACAUGACUCUUGAGAAAUAAUCAAUAACAAUUUCACCUGGUUUCAUUUCAAGGGUCUCGAAAUCUCUCCUUAGUGCUUGAAGGAUGGAACGUUUCACCCGAGCAUUACCUUCAAAUUUCUUUUUCAUUGAGUCCCAUAUCUGUUUUGAGGUGUCCUUCUUUAAAAUUGUUUCAAGGAUGGUCCUGUCAAUUGCUUGAAACAAAUAAUUCUUCACUUUCCUAUCCUUUAACUUCAUCUCAUCGAGGCUCUUUUGUUGUGCUUCCGUUACAGCAGCUCCGUCUGCAGGCUCAACAAAACCAAUCUCCACAAGGUUCCAAUAUUCUUUGGACCUAAGGAAGUUCUCCAUUAGCAUGCUCCAAUGGUCGUAAUGACCAUCGAAGCGUGGAAUCGCAGGCUGAACAAAACUCCCUUCACUUGCCAUCUCUUUCUUCUCUAGUUUUUCUUGAAUACAAGUCACUCAAAAGCUGCAGCUUUCUAUUCUCAGGCCCACUGGAGAAAAGCUCUGAUACCAAAUGUUAAAAGCUACAGAGUAUAGAAGAAUUCUAACUGUUAUUAAAAUGAGAAUAACUUUGGCUAUUAAAUAGCCUUACAUAACGAACCAAGCAACAAAACAGGAACCAAGUUUAACUGACUCCUAAAGACAUGGAAGACUAAAAUCAACAAAUAACGUCACCUUUAACAAUAGGAAUUUUAUUUUGACUAAGUAGUAACAAAAUCAACUCAACAGUUUUAUGUUGGUAUUUCAAUGGAACCCAAGGGCUGCAAGUAUUCAAUGUUUCUAUUUAUGGUGAUGAUAUCUCCAUUCCAAAAUUUCUGUAAACCCACCCCAUGUUUUAAAAAUAAUUACAAAGUGUACAUUAUUUUUAAAAAAUUUCAAAUAAAGAAGAACAUUGGAGAAUUAAUUAACUGAAUUUAUCAUAAUUUGAUUUUUUUAUUAUAUUUGAAUUUGAUUAUAAAGACUGCUCUGGCAGAAGUUUAAAUUGACUAUUUUAGCCUUAUAAGGCAACACUACCAAGAAUUUACUUUAACUUCAAUAUUUUUCUAAUUUUAUACCAAACUCAUUUUUUCUAUUACUACUUUAUUAGUAUGAUUAUUAAAUUUUAAUUAAACUAACUUGGUGUCUUUAUGGCACAAUACUCAUGUAAAUUAUUGGACAGUCAAAUAUAUGUCAUUUACAUGGAAGUGUGGUGAAAAUAAUAAUUAGAUUUCAUUUAAAAAAAUGUAUUAUAAGUCACAAAAUUAAAUACCUAAAUUAUUAGAUACAGUAACUCUUGUUUUUUGGGACAAUUUGAUUAUUUUAUAUCAUAAUAAUAAAAUAGUAAAAUAAAACUUAUAUUAAAGUUUAUGAUUAAAUAUGGUCAAAGAAACCUAAUAAAAAAGUUAAUGGAAGGACUUGAUUAAAUAAACAAAACUUUUAUUGAUUUAUAUUUUUUGAGAAUGUUGUGAAUUCACUGCAAUUAUUUUCUAGAAGUGGGAUGGAUAUACAAAAAUAUUGGAGCGGAAAUAUCCCCACCCUUAAAAUUUUUUGACAAUUACUUAUUCCCACUUAAUGUUUUAGUUUUUUCCAUUUUAAUUUAUAAUAUAUAGAAGAAAUUAACCUAUCACAUUUCUUUGAUAGCCUUGGUCCUUUGGAGAAGAUUUUAUUCAGUUCAUCGUGAAAAUUUGUUCUCAGUGCCAUUUAUAAUUAAAUUCAACAAUGCACUUGAUAGACCAAAUUAAAACUAAAGUUAAUAGCUUAUAUUUAUUUUUAAUGAUUACAACCUACACAUAUAUAUUACUCUCAAGACUUAUAUUUAUUGAAACUUUCUAUGCAUUCAUUUAUAAUAAAAUUUAAAAAUUUGUUGGGACUGGAUAAAAAAUUUAUUUCUUUCACUAAUAACCUUGCAUGUAAAACUACCAUGCAUAUUUCCUGUUUUUUUAAUUGUGGAAAGGGAAAAGAGGAUCCAUGAGAACUUGAAUUAAUACCCUCAAUAUUAUUGAGAGCACCCGCGCAUAACUUCUCAUCUUCAUUAAUAUAUAUAAAUAUAUAGUUCCCUUCUAAUAAUGGAAUCCCUUACUUUAAAAUAACGGACAGGGUAAAAGACAAAAAAUUCAGAUUUCAGUAAAUUACAAGACAAAUUAUAUUGUAUUGAAUCUAUAAUUUUUGUCUUUUUACUUACCAUGUACUUCAAUGUAUUAAACUAUAUAUCUUAAUAGUUUAUUGGACAUUGGUGAAGUUCAGAAUUCUGGUCUAUAUUCGUACUAUAUAUAUAUAGUAUGAAUAUAAUCGAGCAAUAAUGGCAUACAUCCCAAUAAGAAUCUCUACAUUUUGUGUCAGUAAUUUAUUGAGUGAUGGAUUUAAUAACUUCUAACCAAGUUCUCGGAGAGACAUAAUUAACUGCAUUGAUCUCGGUAGCUACUCCACCCACAGAAUUUAAAUAACCUAAAGGAGCAUGAGUCAGUCCAGCACUGACUCUUCGAUAUAUUUCUUGCUGAAAGUAUCCCUGAUCCCAUUGAUAACGGGUGGGACCAAGUAAAAUUAUUUUUUAGUAGUUGAUAAAACUCUUUUCUCAGAGCGUGUACCUUUUAUACCAAAAUUGGGUAACUCAAUUGAUGUUAGACCAGAAUCAACGAGGCCAAAGGAGGCCUAUAAUCAGAAAGACCAAAAGAAAAUCAGCAAAUCCCAUAUUAAAUAACAGAGUCAAAUUCAACAGCCCACGAAGGCCAAGAAAAUUCCAAUGUCGAAGUAAAAGGGAAGGGCUAUUGAAUUUUUCAAUGUAUUAAAUAAUUGAGCCGAGCUAUUGGCACCCCUGCAUUAUUCUUAUAAAAUCCCCUUUAAAUAAAAUUACAACUAAAGAUAACUGAAAAUUAAACACAUAUAAUUUUUUUUUCCAGCAAACUACUUAAUUCAUAAUCAAUCCUUUAAAAAAAUAUAUAUAUGUUACUUCCUAUUUAAUGAAAAUAAAUUGUACAAAUUUAGGAUAAUCUAUUGUUCUCUUUUGAUUCCUUAUUUAUUAAAUAUUUUUAUACUUAAAAUUGCUUUGAUAUUAUAAUUUGAAAUUGGUAUUAUUUCAACCAAUGAUUAACACUAAAAAACUUAUCACCCAUAUAACUUUUUAAUUUGUGUGUAGGGUAAUAAUAAAAUUGAAAAUAAUGAAAAAGAUAGCACAAUAAUACUUUGAGUUUUAACAAUAAAACAAAUCAAAUGAAAAUUGAAAACUUAAAAAAGUGUAUCUAAAAAAGGGGCAUUUUCGAAAAUAAAAUAAAAAUAAUUAAAAAUAGAAUCUUAUGAAGAGAUUAGAGGGGUGCCAAUGGUCCAACUCUAUAUAAUUUGGUAUUGAAAAACUAUAUUGAGACUCGACUAAUUUAAAUUCGGCGUAUUGAAGGGCUAUUGAAUUUGAUGAAGCAAAAUAUCUCUCGCGCUCGCAGUGAAAGUAAAGACAACGCCUGUCAAUGGCAUAUGAACAACUAUUUUUGCAAAAACAGAGACUGAACAUGUGGGUGGGCUGUGGCCAUUUUCAUCAUACGUGUUUGAUUAUAAUUUGUAACCAAAAUUGUUAACUGGAAAUUAACAAUCUACCUAUAUAAGAAUGGGCAUAGCAAAAAUCCCCGUAAGGGCUCAUUAUAUUAGGUAAUUAAGGGCCGGGUGGAAGUACGCUUUUUCAUACCUAAUAUUACGUCGAUAUCCAAUCCCAAAUAUAUCAAGCACCGAUUCCAAAACCAUUUAUUGUUAGAGUGUUGGCAGCGAAGUCUCAAAGUCUCAAUCAAACAUAACAGAUAUUGAGACGUGUUAAUUAAACUAUCUAAGAAAAUGCAUUUGCCAACCACAACUGUUGAUGUGUUAGGAACUUAUGUUAUAUUGUGAAACCAUUGAAAAUGUCAUUUGCUGUGCGACCGGUGAAAUUUAGUGAUUCAGCCAAGGUUAGCACUAAGAAAAAGUACAAAUUAAAAGGCCACUGUUUUGUUUAAGAACUUUUAAUAUGUUUUUAAUUAAUUAUCUUCAUAUAGGCAUGCACACACUCAGAUUUGAGAUGGGAAGCCUUCCACUUUUUCUUAGUUUGAGUAAUUAGUAGGAGAAGAAGUGGAUCCUAAUCUAAUUAAUAAUUGUUAGUGCCUACUGGAUAUUAUUUCUUUCAAAUCAAAAGCCUCCCGGCCUCAUCUGGCUAAAUGUCACUGUCGUGUGAUGUGAUCGCGAACUUCAUUGAUGAAAAAUAAGGGGAUAAAAUAAUAACUUUGAAGAGUGGAAUUCUAAAUAGAUUUUUUAAUUUUUCUCUUAGUGUAAUUUUAUUCAAAAAUAAAAUUAUAAUCUCAUCCGGGUUAUUUUUUGAAACCUCCCCUGAGAUUUGAUAUAAUUUCAAUUAGAUGGUGAGAUUGAUUGUAUUCUCACUUACCUCCCUUGUCGUUAGUAUACAUACAACUUGACUGUUAGUUGACUUGAGAAAUGACUGAAAUAUCCAAACUAAUUAUUCAACCAAAAAUUUUGGCGCCAACAAAGUAAGGGUACGACGAAAAUAGCUUGCCAAAUAUAUACCUUCUCUUCUCUCCAAAUUAAACCUAGGUCUUAAGUUUUCCGGCAACAGGGGACGGCGGUUGGACAUGCGUUUGACAGCAAGUUGAUCUCCGGCAGCACGUGGCUCUACUUCUGCCAUUUUGGCCGCAAUAUAUCAAGUUAAUUUUCGGUAAUUUUGGCAAGCCUUAUAUUGUAAAUUCUUUUUGUUUUUCGUUUUCCUAAGAUUGAUUGAUGACAAAUGGGUAUAUAAAUGAUUAUAGAUGAGCAUUAGGAUUGAUUGGUGUGUAAAUAUUAAAAAUGGUUUACUGAAAUUGGUAGUUAAUAAAUGGCACAUGAGGUGCUCGACAAAAUGCCUCUUGGGGUUUGUUUGUCUCAUUUUAGGUAGAUUAAGGUGUUGAUGGUGCAUUCAUGCGAAGUCCUAUUUUGUAAGCUCAUUAUCUAGCAUGAAAAGUUUACAACAACUAGCUUAAGAGGGUAUUUUACAUUUAUGGAAAAUUGCAUGCGCGACAGGGCCUAUCGCAACAAGUGCUUGUGAUUUAGAGUGACAGGCACCGUCUCUCGGGGUACAGGUACAUGUCUCCCCAAAUUACAGAAAAUUUGUUUAACUAACACGUGAAAUCAAAAAUCACUAAAAAAUAAUUUACUUCUCUCAGCAAUAGACUAUACCAGUCUCCAAAAUAUGUUAAGGGAUUCCAUCACCACCAAACCACUAAUAUUUUACUUGUUUAAAGAAAUAAGUAAAUUCCAAACCAUCAAGUUAUAUGUCAUCAAACCAGCAACACAAAUAACAAAUAACAAACAUUUAAAUUUGUACCGAGAGGAAAAAAAAACAUUAGUAGGAGUUAAUUGAAUUGGAAAAUAACACUAAGUAAAAUGGCACCGUAAUUUAAAUUAUAGUCACAUGUGCAUUUCCGCAGCUUACAAUUGGUGACAGUCACAAAUUGACUGAAUUUCAUCAGCCUAUACAUCCGGUAACCACCCAUAUACACAAAAAUAACAAAAAUAACAACUACACUAACAGUGUGCUAUGAUAGCUGAGUUAUACUUUAUACAUGUCAUUGUCACUAUAAUGUGAGUUUGUUAGUAUCACAUUUAUACAAAAUAUACAAAAACUUAAUCUUGUAUCAAUGACUGAGUACAAAAAGAUGAUACGACUUCUUAAUUUGCCGGCAUCCUCUCAAGAGAAUCUUCUAUUGCCGUCACUUGCUCAAUGUGAACCUCAUAAUUCAAAUCAAGGAGAGCAAACUCAUUCUCGUUUGCUAAGUCAAACCAGUCCAUUUUUGCUGUAGGUUCCAGUGGAACAACUGGCCUUUCGCUCCUAUCAUAUGUAAAUAUGCACACGUUAAUAAGUGAAAGCAAAGUAAUAAUUAAAAAUAAUAAUAAUAAUAACAUUACUAAACAACAACAACAAUUACAAUAAUAAAGAAAAAUAAUGAUAAUAGUAAUACAUUUUAAUAAAGAUAUUAAUAAUAAUUGUGAUGAUAAUAUAUGUGUGUGUGUGUGUACUAUUUUUAUUUUGAAUUAAUAUUAAACACAAAUUGUGUUUUUAGUGUGACAUGCUUGUUGCACCAUAAUACUAUCAUGUCGCCCAAAAACACAGAAGCUGAAUUCGGGCAACCUAAGCCGUCGCACGGGCGACAACGUUGUCGUCCAAAAACACAAAAACUGUGUUCGUGCAACGUGAGUCUGUCGCAUGGGGGACAGGCCCUGUCGCUUAAAAUCGCAGGAACUGUAUUUGUGCGAUAGACAUACAAAAACAAUGCAAAUUCAUAAACAUAUCAACUUGAGCAAACUUUGGUCAGAAAAAUAAAAAUUACAACUAAGACUACUUCUGUUUUGCAUACUCAUUUGCAUAAUAAUAGCAAAUUAUUGGCUUUAUAUACUUUAUUACACUAUGUAUGGUGUAAAUCACAAACAUAAAAAAACUAAUAACAAUUUUUUUCAACUUAUGGCCACAUAUGUCUGAACCCAUUCUCCUUUUAAUCAAUUUUUUCACCACCAACCCAUAAACAAGACAAAUCAAACACAACCAACAACCACUUAUAAAAUCUCCAAAAACAAGAAAAUCAAAGGUAUUUAAAAAUUUUAGACUUUGAUAAAGUAAUUAACCUCUUACAAACUUCAAUACCAGUGGCAUAUCCCGACCGCUGUCGAUCGUCACCGGUCGGUCGCCUUCUCUGACCACCAUGUUUGUCUUCUUCAUGGGUUAUAUAUGCUCUUUGUGUUUAUUUCUUUUUAUUCCAGCAACUGAGAAUAGGGGAGUCGAGUGAAAAAUGCUUUGAUUGUUAAUGUGAGAGAAAGAAAUCUCCAUUGCUUUUUUAUGCUGGAGAAAGAGAAAUUAACUCUUUUACACAAUAGAUAUUGUGUGUAAUCGAAUAAUACAAUUAUCCAAUGAAUUUCAAACCAUUUUUUUAUUGUUACUUGAUUUUUUUAGAUUUUUAGCAUGUUUUUUACAUUUUUGCCCUCAAAUACUAAUGUUAUACGCGUAUGUAUACUAACGGGAGGGGAGGUAAGUGAAAAUACAAUCAAUUUCACCAUCUAACUGAAAUUAUAUCAAACCUCAGGUGAGGUUUUUAAAAAUAGCCCAAUCUUAACUUUUGGUUUGAAGAGGAUAUUAAAAUAAUUUUAUGGAUGGUACAAUUUUCUUUUCUUUUCUUUCGUUUCCUUUUUUUUUUCAAAGCAAACAUCCUCAAAGGAUGGUAAAACAUUAACACUUUUCCUUCUAAAAAUUAAGCACAAUAAUGCUAUUCUUAUUUUGUCAUCUAGUACAUGAGGGGUAGCCGGUUACGAGUGAAACUGAAACUAAUUAUUUUUCGAGGGAAAAAUUUAGAUGAGAGUCCCAUUAAAUUCCAUUGAUUUCUGUAUAUAAACCGUAAGUGGCUUAGAACUAGAGCAAGGGACACGACGAAGAUCAUUCACUCAGAUGAGAAGCAUGGAAUUAGGGCAAGGUUCUAGCAAAAAUGGAGCCAUGCAAGUAGAACAAGUUCUGUUCAUGAAUGGAGGAGAAGGAGAUAACAGCUAUGCAAACAACUCAGCGCCAUCGGUCACUUUAUAAACUUCAAUCUCACUUUCCCUCUUUCUUGAUGUUCACACUUUAAUUUCUUCUGUUUAUAAAUUUUCUUAUCUUUUCCAUUCUUUUGUUCAGAGGGAGGCAACCUUGAAAACAAAGCCCCUACUGCAUGAAAGCUUGUUUGAUUUGUAUUGCAAUGGCUUCCCAGAUUGCAUCAGAUUUACAGAUAUGGGGUGUUCUUCAGGGCCUAAUGCAUUUUUGCCAACAUUGCAAGUUAUAGAGGCACUGGACACUAUUUGCAGCCGCUUGAAACAUAAGCCACCAAUACUGCAUGCUUUUCUCAAUGAUCUUCCUGGAAAUGAUUUCAAUACCGUUUCCAAAUCUCUUCCAAGCUUUUAUGAGAGAUUGAAGACAGAGAGGGGCCAUGACGAUUUUGGUUCAUGUUUCAUUGCUGCAGCCCCUGGAUCUUUCCAUGGAAGGCUAUUUCCUCCGUGUUUCCUAAACUUGGUCUACUCUUCUUUCUGUCUUCACUGGCUCUCUCGGGUAAACGAACCCGUCCCAUUUAUUCUUUUAAAGAUAAUAAAAAAAUUAAAAAUUUAAAAAAAUAGUGUACAAAAUCAUAUUCUUAUAAUACGUCAAUUUUAUGUUUUAACAGGUGCCCAAAGAGCUAGUAAGUGAAUGUGGAAUUCCUUUAUUAAAUAAAAGGGAUGUCUGCGUAGCAAAAACCUGUAGCCCUUUCAGUGUGCAUAAAGCAUACUUGGAUCAAUUUGAGAUUGAUUUCACAUCAUUUCUCAAAUUUCGAUCGGAAGAGUUAAAAACUGAAGGCCGUAUGGUUCUUAACUUUAUAGGUAAUGAUAAAUACCAUACUGGUGUUUUCGAGUUGAUGGGAAUGGUGUUAAAUGACAUGGUCUAUGAGGUAUCUUCUCUCUCCCCUUUUUGAACACAAACAUACCACUAUAUUAUAUAUAUAUAUAUAUAUAUUCUCUUACAUGAAAAUUAUUAGGUGAAUUCUCACUAAAGAUGUUAUAUUGUAACAAAGUAAUUAUGAUAUGCACUUGUAAAAAUCAAUCAUUAUGUUUCACAUCUCUAGCUCAGACAUUUGUAUGUGUGUGAAAAAAUUAUAUAUAUUUUAAAGAGAUUUACUCUUUCUUUUGAACUUAUUUAGGGUUUGAUUGAAGUAUCAAAAUUGGAGCCAUUUCAUUUUCCGAUGUAUAACCCUUGUGUUGAAGAAGUAAGACAAGUAAUUGAAAGAGAAGGAUCCUUU